This 53155-nucleotide long non-coding RNA is filed under the name Phaseolus vulgaris (common bean). Its description in RNAcentral is "long non-coding RNA (PVUL_LNC000921)". Lineage: Eukaryota; Viridiplantae; Streptophyta; Magnoliopsida; Fabales; Fabaceae. The record is from RNAcentral.
AACUCCAAGCAUGGUGGAAGGAAGUUGUAGAGAAGGGUCAUGCUGACUUAAAAGACAAGCCUUGGUGGCCUAAAAUGAAGACUCUUGAAGAGCUUAUUCAAUCAUGUUCCACCAUCAUAUGGAUUGCUUCAGCCUUUCAUGCAGCGGUUAACUUUGGACAAUAUCCUUAUGGUGGAUUUAUCCUCAACCGUCCAACUCUUAGCAGAAGAUUGAUCCCGGAAAAAGGAACACCAGAAUAUGAUGAGAUGGAGAAGAAUCCUGAAAAGGCUUAUCUAAGAACAAUUACACCUAAAUAUGAGACUCUUGUUGACCUUUCAGUGAUAGAGAUAUUAUCAAAACAUGCUUCAGACGAGGUCUACCUUGGACAGAGGGACAAUCCAAAUUGGACCUCUAACCGAAGGGCAAUAGAAGCCUUUAAAAGGUUUGGAGAAAAGCUAUCAGAGAUUGAGAAAAAUAUCUCAGAAAGGAACCAUGAUCCAAAUCUUAAAAAUCGAACUGGACCAGCUCAUUUGCCUUACACUGUGCUUCUUCCCACCAGUGAAAAGGGAUUGACUUUUAGAGGAAUUCCAAACAGUGUCUCUAUCUAAAUUUCUACAUGGUGGCUCCCUCUAGCAGUGUACUUGCAUUACGUAUUUGUUUUUUUUUUAAGAGUUUUCAUGUUAGAUAUUAUUGUAUUACGUAUUUGUUUAAGAAAUAUUGCAUUUAGUGGUUGUGGUUUUCUUAUUGGACUUUUUUACUAGUCUUGCUGAGUUACAUAUGUAUCAGACCUUCUAUGCUGAUCUUUGGCAUGCCUUAUGUUGAAGUUAAGCUCUUCUUUUAGUAAUAAAAGCAUUUUCUUGUUAAGAAAACUUGAAUUAUAUGUUACUCUCAUAUUUUUUUUAGCUGAGUUCUAUUCUUCUAUAUUGAUCAUUCUAAUCUUUGCAGCUACAGUGGGUGGCAACCGGCAAAACUCAUUUCGUGUGAUAACUUAUAAAUGCAAAACGUUUUUGAAGACAACAGAAAGAAAGCUAUUGGAAAAAAAAAAUCUAUGUUUUCCUUUAGAAGAAGAUAUUUGUUUGUACAAAGCCAAAUCCUAUUGAUACCUUUCCCUACAAGAAAAUCAUUAAAUAAAAAUUAAUUUUAGAGACAAAAAAUAAUUAAUUGGUAUAGUAAUAAAAUUAGAGAUUAAAAAUUAUUUUUUUUUAAAUUAAUUUUUAUUAUUAAUAAAUAGAUUCUAAAUUGGUAUCUAAUUAAUUACCAAAGUUUUUCUACCAAAUUUAGAAUCUAAAUAAUUGGUAGUUACUAGCUAAUUAAAUACUAAUUUAUAAAUUAUAUAUCUAUAAUAAAAACUAAUUUAGAAAUCAAUAAUUUUUUCACUCUAAAAUGAUUUCUAAUUUAGUCAUUAUAGUAAUUAAUUAUUUUUUAUUUUUAAAAUUAAUUUUUAUUUAAUGAUUUUUUUUUAGUAUUUGUUUUGCCACAUAACUUUAGGUGAAAAGAUUAUUACAUGGUCUCACAUAAUCAUAGUCAAGAUUUUGAACGAGAGAUUAAUUUUAUGAACAGGUGGUGUGGCCUCAGACCAUUGAUUAAUUUUAGGUGCUAUUGUAGUUUCAAAUGUUGUGUGGUGUUAAAACUGUGUUGCUGAUAGCAUAACAAAAUAGUGCAUAUGGUACAAAAGGAUACACUGGAACACCAUGAGAGUUGGUCACAAAAACCAUUAUCACAUAAGAAUUAAGUAAAUAAAUAAGGAUAAGUAUCUCAAUCCAUUUACAAAUAAAAGAUAGAUGUAAAUCUUAAAUCUGUCUAACAACUUAUAUUUUAUUAUGUUAAAAGAGAAUAACUUAUAGAAAGAUAAGGAAAUUGGGAGAAAUUUGAGUGUUUAUUGAAGAAUUAAAUUAGGUAUUAUAUAAUGUUACUGAAUAAACUGAAAAGAAGAAAUAAGAAGCUUUGUGAUGGAAGAACUAAGGCAGCAACCAACCACACACAAAACGAUAUCCAAAUAUAUAUUAUGAAAAAUGGUUCCAAUAAAUAAUUUAAAAAGACUGUUAUUGUUUUAUAUUUUUCCACUGAUUUUUCGUGUACCAUGAAUAAUCUUCAACUCAACCUUCCACUCAUCACUCAUUUAAUUGCACCUUCCUGCUAUGUGCCAAAUUGCCAUAGAAUAUAUAUAUAUAUAUAUAUAUAUAUAUUCUAUUUUUACUUUAAAAUUCAUUAUAUAAUUUAAUCAAUAAAUUUUAAAUAAACAACUUAUUAACUAUUUUAAUUCAAUAACUAUUACAUAAAGUUUUAAAAAAAUUAUAACAAAAAAUUAGAAAAAAAAACAAUCUAAUUGACAAAGCAUCAUGUCAAGCAACAAAUUCGAAAUCACUUGAAUUUCGAAAUUCAUUAGUUUGAAAGUUAAUCUUUGCUUCAAAAACAAUUUUAUCACAUUUUUUAAAGUCAUUUAAUAUAUAUAAAUUCUUCAAUCUCAAUUUAAAUUUUGUUGAUUUAUUUAACGUGUUUCUUUUUCACUAUUUUAUAAAAAAAUAUUAUAUAUAUAUAUAUAAAUUUACAUGUAAAUAAGAAAAUAAAAAAAAUACAAAACAAAUAAUAAUACAUAAGAAAUAAACGUGACCAUAUACCAAUAAUUAAAAAAGCUACACAUACUAAAAUAAAUAUAAACAAUACAUAAACAUAAAUAAUACACGUAAAUAAAUAAAUUAUUCAAGAAUAACCAAAAUUUUUCUUUUUUUCCAAGUUUUUUUUAUUUAUUUAUGUAAGAUUUUAUUUAAAUAGGACAUUAAAUAUUUUAAAUUUGUAUUUAUUUAAGAUUUUAAAUAAUUUAAUUUUUUUAUUUACGUAUGACAUUAAAUAUUUAAGUUUUAUUCUUUUAGCAAUUUUUGAAUAGUUUAGUAAUUUAAUUUAUUUUAGAUUUUUAUUUAAGUAGAACACUAAAUAAUUUAGAUUUUGUAUUUAUUUAGGAUUUUGAAAAUUUUAGAAAUUUAUUUAUUUUAGAUUAUUAUUUAAGUAGGAAAUACAAUAAUUUAGGACUUCAAAAAAUUUAAAAAUUUUAUAAACUUUAGAUUUUUGUUUUAGAAAGAAAUUAAAUAUUUUAGGAUUUUUUUUAACUUUUAAUUUUUUAUUUAAGAAUGACAUAAAAUUUUUCUCAUUCAUAUUAAUUUAGGAUUUUGAAAAAAUUAUUAUUUUAUUUAUUUUAGAUUUUUAUUUAAAUAUGACAUAAAAUAAUUUAAAAUUUUUAUUUUUUUUAAGAUUUUCAUUUAACUAUGACAUAAAAUAAGUUAAGAUUUUUAUUUAUUUAGGAUUUUGAAUAAUAUCGGAAUUUAAUUUAUUUCACAUUUUUACUUAAGUAGAUCAUUCAAUAAUUUAGGAUUUAUAUUUAUUUAGAUGUUUGAAGGAUUUUGAAAAUCUUAGAAUUUUUAAUUCUUUUAUAUUUUUAUUUAAGUAGAAAAUAAAAUAAUUUCAGAUUUUUUAUUUAAUUAGGAUUUUUACAAACUAUUGAAAUUUUAUUUAUUUGAUUUUUUUAUUUAUUUUUUAUGACAUAAAAUAAGUUAGGAUUUGUGUUUAUUUAGGAUUUUGAAUCUUUUAAAUUUUAUUAUUAUUAUUUAGUAUAAUUUAAAAAAUUAUUUAUUUCAGAUAUUUUAUUUAAGUAGGAUAUUUAAUAAUUUAAGAUUUGUAUUCACUUAAAAUUUUGAAUAAUUUAGGAAUUUUAUUUAUUGUAAAUCUUUGUUUAAAAAUGACAUUUAAUAAUUUAAGAAUUAUAUUUACUUAUAAUUUUAAAUAAUUUAGAUAUUUUAUUUUUUGAAUUUUUUCAUUUAAGUAUGAUAUUGAAUAAUUUAUAAUUUGUUAUUUUUUAAAAUUUGAAAUAAUUUAGGAAUUGUUAUUGAAAUUUUUUAUUUAAGUAUGAUAUUAAAUAAUUAAAAAAUUGUAUUUAUUUAGGAUUGUGAAUAAUUUAGAAAUUCGAUUUAUUUUAGAUUUUAUUUAACUAAAAUAUGAAAUUAUUUAGAUUUUGUAUCUAUUUAGGAUUUUAAAAUUUUAAAAAAAUAUUAUUUAUUUUAUAUUAUUAUUUAUAUAAAAAAUAAAAUAAUUUAGGAUUUGUAUUUAUUUAGAACUUAGAAAAACAUAGAAGUUUAAUUAAUUUAGAUUUUUAUAUAAGAAUGUCAUUAAAUAUAAUUUGAGAAUUUUAUUGAUUUUCAAUUUUUAUUUAAGAAUUAUAUUAAUUGUUUUGGGACUUAUAUUUAUUUAGGAUUUUUAAAACUUAUUGUACUGACUAGGGCGAAAGGUCAACCGAAAGGUUGUACCGAAAGUCUCGACCGAAAGGUUGUACCGAAAGUCUUAACCGAGAGGUUAAAUAUAAAAAGUAAAUAAGUAAAAUUAAAUUAGUGAUUAUAACAAAAUCCAUAAGAUGGGCCCAAAUAUACAAGUGUGUGUUUUCAAAAUGUUAGGUGCAAAAAGAAAAGACCCAAGUAACUCUUAAGCCCAAUAAGAGAGCCUUAUAAAUAGAGGUUCAACUCAAGAGGUAAGUGAGAUUUAAUUUAUCUGAUGAACAUAAAACUAUAUCUGACUUUGGCAUCGGAGCGCCUUGUAGGUACACACACCCACCUGUGAGGAGAAGAAGCCGAGAGCCCAACUCGAGUAGAAGCCGUGAGAGCCCAACCCGAGAAGAAGCCGAGAGCACCUAGCUAAAGGAGAAGCCGAGAGCAUCUNNNNNNNNNNNNNNNNNNNNNNNNNNNNNNNNNNNNNNNNNNNNNNNNNNNNNNNNNNNNNNNNNNNNNNNNNNNNNNNNNNNNNNNNNNNNNNNNNNNNGAGAAGCCGAGAGCAUCUAUCUUGAGGAGAAGCCUAGAGCACCCAAUGUGAGAAGAGACCGAGAGAGUCCAACCCAAAGUUCGGAAGAUUUGUAUAAGAGUUAAUCUUGUCAACCUGAUUCUAGUGUUCUUGGUCCUUGUUGUAAGAACACUUAUAAAUUUUAUUUACUUUUAAUUUUUAUUUAAGUAGAAAAUAAAAUAAUUUAAGAUUUUGUAUUUAUUUAGGAUUUUUAAAAACUUAAUUUUUUUAUUUAUUUGAUAUUUUUAUUUAAGAAUAACAUUAAAUUAUUUAGGAUAUGUAUUUAUUUAUAAUUUUGAAUAAUUUAAAAUUUUAAAAUGAUAGAAAUUUUAUUUAUUUUUGAUAUUUUUAUUUAAGUAUGGCAUAAAAUAAGUUAGGCACCGGAGAAAGCAAUGGCUUGUAGCUUGCAACCACAUACUACAUGAUAUCCAAAUAAUUUAAAAAGACUUGGGGUCAAGAAUUGUUGUUUUAUAUUUUUCCAUUGAUUUUUCGUCAAUCAUCAUAAUGUUCAACUCAUAUAUCUUCCUGCUUGGAUGAAAUAGACUAAAUAUAUAUCUUACCAAUUUCUCAUGACUCAUAACAAUAACGUAAUAAAAAUUAGAAUAUGAUAAUGAAAUGUCUUUAAUUUAGUGGUUAGAGGUAUCCUGGUUAGUGGUCCUAAGUUUAAGGGUGUGUUUGGAUUGGGAGGUGGAUGUGUGAGAAUUUGAGGAGUGGAUGUGUGAGUAUGUGAGAAGAAAGUGAAGUUGUUUGGAUUGAUGUAUGUUAGAGUGGAUGUGUGAGGAAAAUUUAUGGGAGUUUGUGAGUGAUGUAAUUGUUGUGAGGUUUUUUAAUUUUCUUAAAAAGUAUAAAAUAUAAGUUUACAAAUUUACCCUUGUAUUUAUAAAUAUUUAAAUAAUGAAAUAUGAUGUAUUUUUGUGUAAAUUUGAGUUAGUUGAAAUAUUUUAAAUUAUUUUUUGUACAAUUGAAUAAAUUAUUUGGAUACUAUUAAAUAAUUAUUUUUAAAAAAAUACGAGUUAUUUAAUAUUAUCGAAACACGAAAAAAAUCAUAAAAAUAAUAUUAUCUAAGCGUAUACAAAUUUAUUGUUAUAUUUAUUUAUACAUUUUGAAAGGUUUUUAUAUUCAUUGAUUUAGAUUUAGAUUGUAUGUAGUAGAUACAUAACCAUGUAGAUAUUUUAGAGGACAUUUUAUAAUAAAAAAUAUUAUAUAUAGAGUGAAUUGUACAACAAAUUUAUUUAUAAAGAAGAAAAAAUAUAUACAAUAAAGUAUGAAAUAUCAUAAUAUGAUAAUUAUGAUGGAAAAAUAAUAAAAAUAAAAAAUAUUAUUAUAUAUAUUAUUACAUUAAUGACAAAGAAAAAAAAAGGCCAAAAAGGAAAAACAUCACCAUCUUAGGUGACUUUCCCCUCAAAUCUCUGCAUAUGAGAAGGAUGAGAAAAAUCACUGUUCAUGGAUAUCCACUAUCUCUCUUCCCUGCACAUCCCUUGAUUCAAACCAUGGAUAUCCACUCACAUAUUUUCUCUUGAACAGUACAAUCCUUGAAACAAACAAAGCCUAAGUCUCACCUACAACAAAAUGGUAAUAAUAAUAUAUUGUAAUAAUUAGAAAUAAUAAUCGUAAAUGAUAAAUAAUAUUUUUAAUAUUAAUAAUAAUUAAUAACACUAAUAAUUACCGACAAAAUAUUUUAUUGAUAAAUUUACCGAUAGAAUAUUUUUCGUCAAUAAAUUUACCGACAAACAUAUUAUUUAUAAAUUUGUGUUUGUCGUUUUUUCAUCGAUAAUGCAUGCUUAGCGAUGGAUUUUUGGUCUUACCUAUGGAUUAGACAAUUGAUAAUAUGUUUUUUUGUAGUAUGUGAAACUUUUAUCAUUAGUCCAUUCAUUUCUCACUUUUAAACUGAAUAAUCUUAAAGUUGCUAACAAUAUUGUGAAGUUAUUGAAUACUGGAUAAUUGUUUCUCCAAAUCAAGCAUCAAAAAAUCAUACACAUGUAUUCUUCCAAAAAAAAUUUUACCACCAUCAUGUAUUAUUUCCUUUAAAUUAUCGUUUAUCCCUUUUUUAAUAUUUUUUAUCGUCAACAUAAUUUGAGUGACUAAUAUUUUUUCAUGUCGUAUACGUAUUGUAUAACUCUUAACAAUAUCAAAGAUAAAUCGAUGAUAAUUAUAAUAUCCCAACUAUUAUAUGAAUAAUUGUUAUUUAAUUCUUUGAUUUCUUGAAAUUAUAUCAUGCUUGUUAUGAUGUGUUGUUAUGAUUUGUUGUAAUUUUUUCUUUUGUUUGUAUUGUAUUCCUUUUCUAUCUUGUGAGUCAAGUGUUUUUUCAAGAAUGCAAAAGGAUAAGUGUGACGAUAUUUGAUGAGCAUAUAUUCACUCACACUUAAAUAGCUUUAAUCAUAGAUGUCUUUGACUAAAAUCAUGUAUAACUCUAUUAUUUUAAGUAAGAUUCAUCUAACUGGGUUUAUUUGGACCUUAACUGUUAUUUAUGAUAAUACUGUAUAUUUUAGUCGCAGUAGACGGUCCAAUGCUUCUUAGAGUACAUUGGAUGGUCUAAUAAGAGCGUUUGGUAAAGAGUUUUAAGGAAGUUUUUAUCUCUACAAGUGAGUCAAAUAUGCGAAAGUCCAAGUUGCUUCUUUGAAUCAAAAUGAGAAAAAAAAUCUUAGGGGAAGAAUUAGAGAAUAAAAUCUAAUAUAUCAUAAACAGAAUUGGAAGCAAAUAUUAUGCCAAAUACAAAGAAACAUAGUUCACGAUGAAAGUGAAAAUAAAAUUUAGGAAUUCUGAAAAGUUGAAAACUUAAAAAUCGAAGCAAUAUCUAAAUUGAAAUAUAUUUUUGAGAUCCUUGGAACAAAGAAACCUACAAAAGGAUGUAAGCUUCAAGGAGAAAGGGGAAAGCUUCAGAGCUUAACAUAAUGCAUUCGAAAAAUAGAGCAUUAGAGUUUUCUUAGAUUUUAUUUGUUUUUCUUUGUUAUAAUUCUUUUGUUUACCUUCAUAUGGAAGGUUAAACUCAUUCAUGUUGAUUCUCUUGUGAUUUUGCAAUGAAUUUUGAGAUUUGUAUUCAAUAAGAUUUUAUUCUUAUAUUCUAUGUAGCAAUUCGUGUAUAAAGGUUUGGUCUUUUUGAAUUUCGAUUUUUGUUAAAGAAUUGUCUUUGAACAAUUGUUAAGAAUUCUGUUAUUUUCUUUAAUUAGAGUUUUUGGUUAGUUUAUUUUAGGGAUGACAAUGCGUGACGAGUCAUGCGGGUUAGCCCAUAGUCCGCUACCAAAAACUGCGAGACGGGCUCACUAAUAUAGCCCGUUGAACCGUCCGCAUAACCUGUAGCGGGGCAGGGCGGGGCGGGUUGGCCCGCUGGCUCGCAUAAAUAAAAAAUAAUUAUUUUAUUUUUUUAGUAUAAAAAAAUCAUACCUCAUUCACCCAUUAUUGCAAUGACAUUUAUUUUAUUUAAUUUUUAAAAAAAUGAAUUUAAUGUACUAAAAAAAGAAUGUUUUAUUUUAAUCAUUUAAAAGAGUUAAUUUUUUUAUCAACAAUAAAAAAAACACUUUAGGGUUGAUCCAACCCAUGUACAAAAUUGCACAAAAACAAACAACCUCUCAUCCCAUAAGUUUGCCACUCACUUCCUGCUAGAACAAAUACAGUCUGACUAACCUAAAUAAAUCACUUAUGUUUAAUCGAAUACAUACAAACCAGGGGAUCUAGACACCAACAUAAAAGGAAAAACAAGAAGGGACUUUAGAGGUUACCCAGGGUCAGACUUUUAGUUGAGCCAUGGGGCUAGUAUGAAGAGUGACAGUGGAUUUAGUUUUAGGUAAAGUCUUAUAUUUAGAAUUUGUUAAUAAAAAAUAAUAUAAAGAAGAGAUUUCAAUAGGAUAGUUAAAAAAUUAGUCAUCUUCAUUAAAAUAUUCUUAUACAUUUACAUACAUAUAUAGAAAAAAUAGAUGCAAAGCAAAACUUUUAAUUAUUUUUAAUCAAACCUUUUAACAAUCCUCAUACUUGAAUUUAUAUUUUUAUCUUAAUUGAAUAAAUUGAAACAUGGAUAAAAUUUUAACUUUUCAGCAGUAGGAAUAAUUUUUUUAUAAUUAAUAAAAUUUUAAUUUUUGAAAAAAAAUAUUUUUCUUAUGCGGGCUGGCUCGCAGGCCUGCGGAUUACCUCUUAUGUGAGAUGGGUCAGUGAAAUGAGUCCGCACUCGUUGCAUGGGGCAUGCUAACACGGUCCGCAUUUUGUGGGCCAAACGCAGGACGGGCCUAUGCAGGACGAGCCAACUCGCAUUGUCACCCCUAGUUUAUUUAAUUAUAAUCAAUCUCUUGUUCAUUUAAACAUAAUACUUUCCACUACAAAAAAAUAUGUUUAUUAGGAUGGAUAAAAAACGAACAAUAUCUAAAAGAAACGGACGCAAAACUGUAAUUAUCUUCGGCUUAGCGUUUAUUCAAAUUUGGAAGCUAAUAUGUUUGACGUAAAAGUAGUCGGGGAUGCGUGAGACACUUUUUUGCGUAGACCUAGCCUACAUGGUUCGCACACAAAAUUAUAUUUUAUAUUUGUUUAUUAGAAAAAGCUAGGCUAAGCCAACGGUAUAACCACUCAAUUUUUAAAUAUGCGCGAGCUUAACUUUCACGUUGGCCACACAAAAUUAUAUUUAUAUUGUCCACUCAAAGAGGUGUGAACUUAGCCUACACAUUUGCCACAAAAUUUAAAAAAAAAGUGGACUUAGUCUACAUGUUACCCACACAAAAUUAUAUUUUAUGAACCAUACAAUUUUUAAACACACCGUGCUUAACUUACAUUAUUUAAAUAUAAAUUUUUUAAACAAACAUGACUAAACCUUCACAUGCCACACAAAAAUUAUAUUUUAUAUUUUUCUUUCUAGUCGACACUACACAUGCUAAGUUUUGUGACAAUAUUGGGCUUUGGUUUGCAUUUUAAAUAUUACAGUUAACAUAAAAAAGUUUAAAAUAUUGUGUUAUAGAAGUUUUAUAUUGGUAAAUAAAACUUGACUUACAUGUGUGAAAAUGACUCAAUGAGAACAUGCAAAAGGUGUAAUAUAUAUUAAAAUUUAUUUUGCAUGUACAGAAAUGCCGUCAAAUAAAUAAUAUAUAAAAUACACCUCUAAUGAUUUAGACACAAUAAUUUAUAAUUAAAUAAUGAUAUAAACAUUUCAGUACAUUUUAAUUAGGUUUGUAAACGAAUAAACCUUCUUCUUCAUGUAUAAAAGUGAAUUUUAAAACAUGAAACACUUCAUUUAAAAAUUAUGCUGUGGUGACAGAUAAUUUACCGCAAAUGAAAAUUUUAUUUAAUUUAUUAUCAUUAUUGCUAUUAUUUUUUUAUCAACAAAAAUACAUAAAUAAAAAGUGGAAUAUUUUCCAAAACUUACAAAUAGAAUCAAAAUUUUGAGUUGCUAUUAUUAUUUUUAAAAAAAUUAAAAUUUCGAAUUUUAACCUCAAUGGCAAACCAAACCAGAAAUUAUUUCUUUUUCAGCUUAUAAUCUCUUUUACGAAGCUUAUCCAAUUCGUCAAUCCAUAAAUCAAAAAAUAUAUUUUGGAUCCACCAAUUCAUAAGUUUAAAAAUACAUUCUAGAUUCACUAAUUCAUAAGUACAUUCUUGAUUUAUCAAUCCAUAGAUUUUGAAAAACUCACAUUCCAAAAAUCUAUAAACCCCAUAAAAAUACCUUUUCAAAUAAAAAUAACAAAAACAAUUUUAAAUUUUUUAAAAAUAUAAAAGUGUAGAAAGAAAUACCUAAAUUAUCCUAUAUGUAUCAUAUAUAUAUAUAUAUAUAUUUUAUUUUUUCUAAUUUUUUAUUAUUUUUUAUUUUUGUAAUUAUACAGUAAUUUCAGGUGUGUUGGAAUGCUAACAAUAAAGCAUCCUAACAUAAUUAGGGACAUUUAGAGGGUUUACAGGAUAAGUUAAGUUAGCUGGAAUUAUAGAAAGAGGAUGGUGAUGAAAACAUUACCAUAUAAAAACUAGUAUGAGUAAUAUAUAUAUAUUCGAUUAAUAUUAUGUGGAGUAUAAUUUGAGUUGAGGUGGUGAGUGAAUUCUGAAAUUACAGAAAUUUUACCAUAUUUAAAAGGGGUGUGAUGGACGUGUAUGAAGUGUUUGUUUUAGUACAAAUAAAUGUUUGAUCUUGAAUUUUAGUAAAAAUAAGUUUUGCUUUGUUUUUCUACUUUUAUUAAUGUUUGGAACUUUUGGUGUGUAUGCAGAUAAUUUUUUUAAGUUUUUUUGAAGGAUUUAUUUUAAUAGACUUUUAUUAUUUAGUCUGGUAAUAUUUGUUAGAUAUUAGUUUAUGUAUAAGAGUUGAAUCAUUCUCAAAAUGAUAUAUAUAUAUAUAUAUAUAUAUUUUACAUUUUUUUAUAGUUAAUAAAAAAGAUAAUUUAUUAAAUUUUGUCUGUUCAAAAUUGUCAGAGUCAGUGGUACCUUUCACUUGUAAAAAAAUGAAAUAGUAUAAUAAUUCUUGCGAAGACUUUCGCUAUAUAACGAGGCAGAGACCGGUUACAAAUCAAUAAUAAAUCAAUCAGUAGCAACAGCCCGGUCCACAAUCUGAAUACAAGAAAAAUAAUAUGAAUUCAGUUUAUUAUUUUAAAAAAUUGUUAUAAUCUAUAGUAACGUAUAAUAGAUAUUUUUAUUUAUUUAGUUGUAACUUUUAAUUAUAUUUUGAAAUUACAAUAUUUUAAAUCAAAUAACUGUCUUAAAAUAACACAAUAAUAAAAGAAAACUAAUAAAUAUAAAUUACAUAUUCAUUAAGAAUAAUUAUAUACAUUUCGAUCAUUCUAUUAUAUAUUAGAAUACAUAAUUUAAAGAGUGAAGUUUAUUUUGCAUUCUCUUUUGACAUCAAAUAACAUUAUUUAUAUUCCUUCUACUUUGAGGCCAACUUUUACCAAAACAAUGAGAAUAAAACAUAGAUUAAAUUUAUAAAUGUUAAUUUUGUAUCUUGAUUUGAGAUACUGAUUAAAUUAAUAUAUAAACAUUUUGAAAAAAUAUAUAUUUAAAAAAUAAUAAACAGUUGACCAUAUUAAAAUAACUUGAUAAAAAAAUGUAAUUUCACAAAGUUGAAUAAAAUUAUUUUCUGAUAAAAUGAAGUGAAACAAGUUGGUGAGACAUGGCCCCAUAUCAUUCAUUCUCCCAACAAGAAAGGGGUUCUUAAAUUACGAAGGACAAAGUUUUAUAAAUGCUGAGGAAAACACUCUCAGAUCACACUCAUACCAAGAAAUGUCUCACCUUCAAAAUUAAUUAUAUGUUUUGCAAGAAAAUAAAUAACCAAUUUAUUUAAGAAGUUUUGAAUUUAACUUUCAAAGAAUAAAAUAAUUAUUUUAAUAUUAUUUAAUUAUGUAAAAAAAAGUUCUAUCUUUCCAUGUAAUUACUAAAUUUAAUAAAUUUAUUUUGUUAUUAACAUGUUUUAUUAUAAUAAAAGUUGUGUUUUAAUUUAUUGAUGGUAACUUAUGUCUUAUCGUAUUUAUAUUUUGUUUGUACUGUUUCACAUGUUCUUUGGAUACAUUGUUUGUCACCAUGCAAACAUGUAAUUUCACAGUCAAACUGCAUUAUUUCUGAAACCAAUUUGUCCUCAAACACGUUAAUGUUGAUAAGUGAAAACAAGAACAUGACAUUUGUAACGUUAUGGGACUCUUCUUUUUCUUUUUACAAAAAUUUAUUUAUUUUUUAUUUUUUUAUAUUUUCAUGUAAAAUUAAUUUUUUUUUUCAAACUUGAAUAUUUUGAACAUUUCUAGUAAAAACACUAUAGGAAUAAGCUUCUGUCAAAAAUUUAAGUGACGAAAUUUCUAAUAUAAAUUAAGAUGCUGUUUGUUGAUUUAUUAUUAAUAUGAAUAUUAUAACAUUAUAUUAUAAUUCAAAUUGAAGAUUAUUUGUUACAUUAAAAUUUAGAAUUUGAACUAAAUACGAAAACGUUAUAGUACAUGAACCAAAAGAUAACCCAUAAUUAUUUUCAAUAGAAGAGAAUUAUGAAAGGAGUUUUAAGUUAGUUUUUACUAUAUUGUUUUUAAGAUUUUUUUUUCAAAGUAAGAGUUUAAUAAACUUAUAUUUUAAUAAUUUCUAUUUAUUGACGGAUAAAAAUAUAUAUUAUUUUAAAAUAGUUUUUGUUCUUGUGAUUUAGAUAUUUUUAAAUUUUUCUUUACAAAAUAUGUCGUUAUAUGAAAACAGUAAAAUUGAUUAAAUAGAAUAUUUUUUAUAAUCACUAAAAAAUUAUUAAAUAAAAAUUAAUUUUAUAGACUAAAUAAUUAAUUCUAAAAUUAACUAAAUUAGAUGAGAUUAAAAAAUUUAUUGAUUUUUAAAUUAUUUGUUAUUAUUAAUAAAUAUUUUUUAAAUUAAUAAUUAAUUAAAUAUUAAAUUAGGAGCUAUUUAUUAAUAAUAUAAAAUAAUUUAAAAAUUAAUAAUUUUUAGAUUUUUUAAAAUAAUAUUUAAUUUAGUAAUGAAUGGUUGGAUAAGAUUUAUGUGGAAACACGUAAUAUCCACACACUAUUUCAGCAUAUGAUAAAUAUUAUUGUUGUUUUUCCCUCUGACUUUCCUGUCUUUGUUCACAAACGUAUUAAUGAAAAACGCAUAUGAUAAACGCAUUAUGUACGGAUAUUACCCACAGAUUCUGAAUCCGUAGGUAAAUUCAGCAUUACCUACUAACUAUUACUCAUGAAUCUUAUUACCUACCAAUUUUUACCUAUGGAUCUCUAUUACGUACAACUAUUACUCACGAAUCUUUAUUACAUACGAACUAUCACCCACAAAUCUCUAUUAUCUACCAACUAUUUUCAUAAUAAUUAAUAUAUACAUAAUAUUAAAAAUAAAUAUUAUUAUAAUAUAUAUAAUUAUAAAAUCAUAAUUAAUAUUCAUAAAUAAUAAUAAUCAUAACUAAUAAGUAUACAUAUUAUUAAUACUAUAAAAUUAAUAAUAUUAAUAUAAAUAAUAUAAUUAGUAUUAUAUUAAUAAUAUUAGUAAUAUUAAUAGUAUUAAUGAUAUUAAUAAUAUAACAACAUUAAUAAUAUUUAAUAAUACUUAUAAUAUUAAUAAUAUUUAAUAAUACUUAUAAUAUUAAUAAUAUUUAAUAAUACUUAUAAUAUUAAUAAUAUUUAAUAAUACUUAUAAUAUUAAUAAUAUUUAAUAAUAGUAAUAAUAUUUAAUAAUAAUAAUAAUAAUAUUUAAUAAUAAUAAUAUUUAAUAAUACUUAUAAUAUUUAAUAAUAUUAAAUGUAAUUAUAUUUAAUAAUAAUAAUGAUAUUAAAUAUAUAAAUAAUGUUAUUAAUUUUUAUUUUAUUAAUUAUAUUAAUAUUUAUAAUCAUAUAAUAAGGAUAAUAAUAAUAAUCAUAAAAUAACAACAAAAUUUCACUGAUAUAAUUAUUAAAACUUCUUUAGACAUUUUUCAAAGAACUUGAAUCCAAAUCUCAUUUACUAAAAUUUGGUUCUAACUUUUAUUAUUAUUUUCAUAACAUAAAGAAAAUUCAAAUAAUAAUUAAAACAUUAGAUUUCACGUGUAAAUGCAAAAAAGAUAUAUGUAGUACCAAUAAUAGUGAAUUCUCACGAGUCAGAUCCAUAUUAAUGCUAAAGCAAAAUUUAUGUAGUACCAAAAGUUCUGAAUUCUCACAUGAGUCAUGAUCCACAUUUAAUACGUAAGGUACUAGUCACACUCAAAACUACUUUUGUUGUCUAUCAAUUUUAACUCUUUUUUUUUAAAUAUAUUAUCACGAUUUUCAUAAUCUUAGCAUAAUUAAAUACCUUAUAAUAAAUUUAGGGUAAAUUGUAUGGUAAAGAAUUAGACUUAUGAUAAUGUUAACUUUUACUUUUACUUUAGUCAUUUUUUCUGUAUUAACAUAAUAAAUUCCUUUUUAACUUUUAACUUACUGAGUUUCUUUUUUUUUUAUUUAUUUUCUUUUGUAAAUAAUUGGAUUUUGAUUACUACCAUAUAAUUAUACCACUAUAAUCUUAGUUAAAUUUUGUCUAACCAUUGAACAUAAUGUGUGAAAGAGGAAAUGAAAGGUUAAAGGAUGAAUUUUCAAAAGAUUAUGAAUUGAACCUCAUGAAGUCAGAGAGAAAAACUGGUGAAAAGGUUGGGUAUCAUACUAUGUAGCACAAACACUGAUACGAACAUUGAUACGACACAAACACAUAUACAACACGGACACGGAUAUGGAGAUACGUAAAAUCUCUAAAAUGUAGGACACGGGGACACGAAUUUAUAUAUUAUAUAAUUAUAAAUUAUAUAAAUUGACAAUAAAUAUUUAUGUGCACAAGUAUGUUUCAAAUUAUUUUUUGGAGCAAAAAGAUGUUUUUCACGACUAGUUCACAAGGAUUUGUUUCUUAUUUUUAUAAUCAUAAUAACAAUUUAUACAAUAAAAUUUGAAAUUUGAGAAAAUUAUUGUAUUUUUCUUUUUGAAAAUUGUGUUAGAUCCAUACUAGAAUUGUCAGAAAUCUAAAAAAAUACUUUUUGAAUUAGACACUUCACGGAUACGUGUCCUACAGGUGUCAUACGAGUGUUGGUGUCCGAUACGAGUAUCAGACAUCGACACGUCAUUCAAGAGGAGUGUCCGAGCUUCAUAGGUGCCAUAUCAUUUGCAUUGAGCAAUAAUUAGGCAGAAGGCUACUCAUGGUGAUUUCAUCAACAUGGAUUGAUUUAUGUUAAGUGUAAGAUGGACCGAGAACUAUUUCUGAUUAUUGCGUCGUCCAAUGUGCAAUAUCGUGUUGGGCGCUGCUUUUACUGACGUGACAACCUAAGCUUAUUUCUUCCUUUUCCUUCGAGUGAAGAGGAGGUUUUUUGGUUUUGGAAGAGAAAAAAAGACACAUUUUGGAUUAACAAAUUUUGAUUAAACCAAAACAACUCAUUCAACCAUCCAAAACCAAAGUACGUAUAAAUUGAAGAUGGAGUUUGGCCUAAGACAAUAAAUGGAACUGAAAUAAAAAUAAAUAAAAAUAAAUUCUCCAUUCAUUGUUGCGAGAUCAAGAGAAGAGAAAGAUGGAAGCUACAUGGGAGGAGAACAUGCCGCAAAGAGGAGGGAGGAGCCGGCAAAGUGGAGGGAGGGACCAAUAGAGCGGAGGGAGGGACCAAGGAAGGUGGCGGCGGAGAGAGGAAGCGACGAAGGAGGGAGUUGUGCAGAGAGAAAAAAUUAGGUUUUGAAUUUGGAGAGUUUUUUUUUUAUUUUGAGAAAAACUGACCAAGGGAGACAAAGUUGACAUUUAUUAAUAAUUUUGCUUUGACUCAGACUGAUGUAAAACAACGUUAAAGCUUGACACAUAACUUGUGUCGGCUAGACCGAUGCAUGCCCAACAACGACUAUAGUGUCCGCUAGACCGACACAUAUCUCUACUUUUAUUUAAUUUAUGAACUAAAAUUACAUGUAAAUAUAAUUUAUUAACAAGAAUUUUCAAAAUAAUUAAUUUAUUUCUCUUUGUAUCGACCAAACUAAUGCACAACAAACACAAUUUUGCGUGAGUCAAGCCAACGUAAAAUGAACGCAGUUUGUGUGGGUCAAGCCGACGCAAAAGUUAUGACAAAAAACUUUGCAUUGGCUAGAUCGACAAUUUUUUUUUCUCUUCCACUUUCUCUUAGUGUCUACCAUGCGUCAGAUACCCACACAACAUUUCUUUUGCGUUCGCCUAUCGUGAGUUUGACCAACGCAAUUUGUGCCUUCCUCUUAAUCGACAAAACUCUUACGUAACUAAUCUUUCGUUUUCUUAGAUUUAGCUACUCAGUUUACUUACUUCCUCUAAUGCAUGUUGUCUCUUUAAAAUCACUUCAUCGAUCUUAUAUUUUCUAAGGAAUUAUAUACUAAUGUAGCAUCUCAUAUAUUACAUCAAUUUUAAUAAAAACCAACCUAAUAUAUAGGAGAUUUUUUAGGAGUGCUCACUUGUGCCCUUUCUUCUUUACAUUAACAUUAGUGCAUGUUUUUAUCCUUGUCUUUUCACCCUCACCUUUGUUUUCCACCUCAUUUCUCCUCCUUUCACCAUGCUCCUUCCUUUAUGCUUAGGCUACCAUCCCCAAACAUAAGUGUCACCACUAUACGAAGUGUUCGUCAUGUGAAGGCCGAUAUCACCACCAUAUAAAUUUUUUAGAAAUGCAACAAUCUUAUAUUUUCCAAGGAAUAAAUGACACAUUUGAGAGUUUAUACAUCAUCUACACCCAAGUCUUCAUUUUAGCUAUACAAAAUAUUUCAUACACACCCACUCUUCCAUUNNNNNNNNNNNNNNNNNNNNNNNNNNNNNNNNNNNNNNNNNNNNNNNNNNNNNNNNNNNNNNNNNNNNNNNNNNNNNNNNNNNNNNNNNNNNNNNNNNNNNNNNNNNNNNNNNNNNNNNNNNNNNNNNNNNNNNNNNNNNNNNNNNNNNNNNNNNNNNNNNNNNNNNNNNNNNNNNNNNNNNNNNNNNNNNNNNNNNNNNNNNNNNNNNNNNNNNNNNNNNNNNNNNNNNNGUAUUUCCAUUAUUAUCCUUUGGAUCCAUAGUCAUAAAUGCAGUGUACGAACGUUUGUAUAUUUGUCCCUCCAUGAAUUCUUUACAAAAUCUCAACCAAUACGAGAGCAGUUUACCUGUAUGCACAGGGAGGAGGAAAAUAUGUGUGAAAAAUUAGAGAUAAUUCAGCACUGAGUUGAAGGACUUCACAUUUACCUAUAAAUACCUUCCUCUAGAGUAGCCACAAGGCACAAGCAUUAAGGUGCAAAACCUCUCCCACCCAAAGAAGAGUGUGCUGUGUUUGAGAAGCUAGCAAAAAUGUUUGGGAUCUUGAACAGGGGUCACAAGAUAAAGGGCACGGUGGUGUUGAUGACCAAGAAUGUGUUUGACUUCAAUGAAUUUGUGUCAACCACUAGGGGUGGAAUAGUUGGUGCUGCAGGUGGUCUUUUCGGUGCUGCCACUGACAUAGUUGGAGGCAUAGUUGACGGUGCCACUGCCAUCUUCAGCCGUAACAUUGCCAUUCAGUUGAUCAGUGCAACCAAAACUGAUGGUUUGUUUCUCUAUCUUCUACUUCUUUCAACAUCUCAACAACACCUGCAAAAAACUUAACCUAACUCUGAUGGUUUGCAUUAUCUUUUAUAAUAAUUAGCUUGAAAAAAAUGUUCAUUUUCUUUUAUGAAUAAAUAAAAUGAUACUCCAACUUUGUAAUUAUGACCAUUUAUAAUGAAAUGAAAAAUAUAAAUAUAUUUUAUAUAGAUAUAUAACUAUUAGAUUCUUCUUAUGAAUAUAUAUACAUAAAUUCAUGCAAAUAAUAAGAGGUAUAUCUUUUAUCAUAGUUUCUCAUGAGAUUACACUUUUGACAAUAAUUAUGUUUAAUAUACACUAUACAAAAUAUUCUCAUUUAAUAUAUACUCGAAGUAACUUUGUUUUUUUAACUCACUGGAAGUGACUUUCAUUAGUGUAUUUGUCUUUCUAAAAAUAUAAAGAUUCAUAGUAGACGUUCGCAGUAUUUUGUGAUAUAGAUUACGGUAAAAAAAAAGAGAAAAAAAUAAUAAUAAUGAAAACGGAUAGAAAUAGCAAAGAGAUACAAUAAAAUACGGAAAAAAAUGAAUAUCUAUAUUUUUUUAUAAAUAAAUGUUAUAGUAUAGGUAUUAAAAGUAAAUUUAUGUUAAUUAUAUUACAACAGUAAAUAAUUUAACAGCACAAAAAUAUUUAAUAUAUAUUUCCAGUUUAUAUUAAUAUUAAUAUUAUUAUAAAUAUUAGUGUAGAGUAGGAGCAUGGUGUAAUUAUGCUUAAUUAUUAUGUUUAAAAUAUGAAUCCAAUCUGAAAAAAAAUAUCGUUUAAAUGAUUCAGUUUUUAUUGGAGCAUCCUUAAAUAAUUAGAUCAUAUUCAAAAUAUAUUAUAUAUCAUUGAUGUAUUUUAUUAUUAAGACAAAUCAAACUUUCUUUUAUGUAUAAUUAUAUAUACAGAUAUUGUAAAAAUAUAUAGAAUAGUGUAAGAAUAAGAUCAAAAUCAAUAUAUGCAAUUUUGGCAUUUAACUUAAAAAAGAAUUAUGUAUUGCACACCAAUUUUAGCUAUGCACAACUAAGAAAUUGGAAUAAUCAUUGUUGAUAUAAAUGCUACGAAUUAUGGUUCUAACAUAACCACUAAACUAUUGCAAAGUGCAUCACUUACACAUGCAGAAUCUGUAUACUUUUUUCAGGGCUUGGAAAUGGAAAGGUUGGAAAGCAAACCUUUUUGGAGAAACAUCUUCCUUCGUUACCAAACUUGGGAGAUAGACAAGAUGCAUUCAAUGUUUAUUUUGAAUGGGAUGAGAAUUUUGGAAUUCCAGAAGCAUUUUACAUCAAAAACUUUAUGCAAUCUGAGUUUUUUCUUGUGAGUCUCACUCUUGAAGACAUUCCCAAUCAUGGAACCAUUCACUUUGUUUGCAAUUCAUGGGUCUACAACGCUAAGUCUUACAAAAGGGAUCGCAUUUUCUUUGCUAAUAAGGUAAGUAACUUUCUACCUACCAAAGCAAGCAACUUAUGAAAUUCAAAAUUUUCCCUUAACUUUCAUAUAAUUUAGCUAGCUCAUUUUCUUCCCACUGUGUAAAUGAAAAACAUGGUUAAAUGUGUUGCAGACAUAUCUUCCAAAUGAAACUCCAGCUUCACUGGUAAAGUACAGAAAAGAAGAGUUGGAAAAUCUUAGAGGAGAUGGAACGGGGGAGCGCAAGGAAUAUGACAGGAUCUAUGAUUAUGAUGUUUAUAAUGAUUUGGGCAACCCAGACAAGAACAAGAAUUUAGCUCGUACUACUCUUGGAGGGUCUAGUGACUUUCCCUACCCUCGCAGGGGAAGAACUGGUAGAAAAUCAACAAGGAAAGGUUAGGAUUAUGUUUUCUAUUUUCAACAAAAUGUUUCAUAUGUUUUUGGUAACAUAUGUAGAGAUGUUGUGCAUUAUGACAUAUAAAUUCAUUUUGUUUUUGAAAACUGUGGUGAGUUCUCACUGCUGUUACUAAUUUCAAUUUUGUUUAACUUUUAAUAGACCCUAAGUGUGAGAUACCAACCAGUGACACCUACAUUCCAAGAGAUGAAAACUUUGGUCAUUUGAAGUCAGGAGACUUUCUUACCUAUGCAAUAAAGUCCUUAACUCAAAAUGUGUUACCUACAUUUCAAAAGGCAUUUGGUUUCAACAAUGAGUUUGAUACCUUUGAAGACGUGCGUGGACUCUUUGAAGGUGGACUUUAUCUCCCCACAGAUGUAAUCAGCAAAAUUAGCCCCAUACCAGUGCUUAAGGAAAUCCUCCGCACUGAUGGUGAGCAAGUCCUCAAGUUUCCACCACCUCACGUCAUCAGAGGUAUUGUGUAUAUGCUUGUUAUUAUAUUACAUAUCUUAAGUAAAAUAAACACUGAGUGCAUGCUAAUUAAUACUUGACUUUGUUUCUGUCAUGUUUAACGUUUCUAUGUUUUCCAAAUGAUUUGGAGCAGUUACUAAGUCCGCAUGGAUGACUGAUGAAGAAUUUGGAAGAGAGAUGCUUGCUGGUGUUAAUCCUUGCCUAAUUCAACGCCUUCAAGUAAGCAGUGCUUUUAUUGUUGGUUUAGUAACUAAGAAGAAAUUUGGUUUCUAUGUUGGAUUAUAUUCAUUGAAUCAUUGUUAAUGCUGUUUAACGAAUGGUAGGAGUUCCCUCCAAAAAGCAAGCUAGAUGUUACGGUGUAUGGUGAUCAAACUAGUACAAUGACCAAAGAACACUUGGAGAUCAACCUUGGUGGACUCACUGUGGAAGAGGUGAGUGAUACAAAUAUCAUAACAAAGUGACACAUCAAUACCAAAUUAAUCAUGACACUAAAUGAUCAUGUCAUGAUUAUAUUUUUGUGCAACAGGCACUGCAUGGUAACAGAUUGUUCAUAUUAGAUCAUCAUGAUGCAUUCAUACCAUAUUUGGAAAGGAUCAAUGACCUUCCCACUGCAAAGUGUUAUGCCACAAGAACUAUCCUUUUCUUGAAAGAUGACAACACUUUGAAGCCACUAGCCAUUGAAUUAAGUUUGCCAAAUCCUGGGGGAAAGGGUGCCAAUAGUAGAGUAAUCUUGCCUGCAGAUGAAGGUGCUGAAAGCACAAUUUGGCUACUUGCAAAGGCUUAUGUUGUUGUAAAUGACUCCUGCUACCAUCAACUCAUGAGCCAUUGGUAUUAAAAAAUUUGCCUCUGUCAUCACACAAAAACUUAUCUAUUUUGAAUUUGAGAAGUGAUUUUUUAUUUGUUCGUGAUCUCAGGUUGAAUACUCAUGCCGUAAUGGAACCGUUUGUGAUAGCAACAAACAGACAUUUGAGUGUGCUCCACCCUAUUUAUAAACUUCUGUUGCCUCAUUAUCGUGACACUAUGAAUAUCAAUGCACUUGCACGACAGUCGCUUAUCAAUGCAGGUGGUGUCAUUGAGCGAUCAUUUUUGCCAGGCGAAUUCGCUGUAGAGAUGUCCUCAGCAGUUUACAAGAGUUGGGUUUUCACUGAUCAAGCCCUUCCAGCAGAUCUUAUCAAGAGGUAAUGUUUAUACACAUAGAUUGCUAUAUACAAUUUUCAAGUUAGAAUUUUCAUUUUUGAUACCAAAGUCCUUUGUAUUAUUCACCCUUGAUUCAGAGGAAUGGCAGUUGAGGAUCCAUCCUCUCCAUAUGGCCUUCGCCUUGUGGUAGAGGACUACCCUUAUGCUGUUGAUGGACUAGAAAUAUGGGAUACUAUUCAGACCUGGGUUAAAGACUAUGUCUCCUUGUACUAUCCCACAAAUGAUGCAGUUAAGAAAGACACUGAACUCCAAGCUUGGUGGAAAGAAGCUGUUGAGAAAGGUCACGGUGACUUGAAAGAUAAGCCAUGGUGGCCAAAGUUGAACACUCCUCAAGAUCUGAUUCACACUUGCUCCAUUAUUAUAUGGAUUGCUUCAGCUCUUCAUGCAGCUGUGAAUUUUGGACAAUAUCCUUACGGUGGUUUCAUCCUAAAUCGUCCAACUAUAACCAGAAGAUUGCUGCCUGAACCAGGAACCAAAGAAUAUGGUGAGCUCACCAGCAAUUAUCAAAAGGCUUAUUUGAGAACAAUUACAGGGAAGGUUGAGGCCAUUGUGGACCUUUCAGUGAUAGAGAUAUUGUCAAGACAUGCUUCUGAUGAGGUCUAUCUUGGACAGAGGGACAAUCCAAAUUGGACUAAUAACAUAAAAGCACUUCAAGCAUUUAAGAGGUUUGGACAAAAGCUGAAGGAAAUUGAAGAAAAAAUCAUGGGGAGGAACAAAGAUUCAAGUCUUAGAAACCGUAAUGGACCAGUUCAGAUGCCCUACACUGUGCUUCUUCCUACCUGUGAAGAUGAAGGCCUCACUUUUAGAGGAAUUCCCAACAGCAUCUCAAUCUAAUGAGUUUCUCUACGUGUUGUUCUCUUUGCAAUCCUACCUUUUUAAUCACAAAUAAAUAUGCAGGCUUAUCCACCUAUGCAUAACUGUCUUCUAUAUCUAUGCUUAAGUGUUGUAUGUGGAUUUUAUCUAGUUUUCGUAUUUAGUACUAUGUUAUCAUUUAGUUACUAUCAUGUUGUGAAGUUUGAUAUCCGACCUAUGAAUAUCAAAUAUAAUAUAACUGGGGUUUUCAAGUGGAGCUGUUACAUAUCAUGACUUUGAAUUGGUACCUAAAUGAGUCCCAUAAAACUUUUCUAUCCUACCAUUACAAGAAUAAGAUUAGUGUUUUUUCAUUAUUACUGCAUGAACAGUCAUGCAGGAGUACAGAUAAAUAUGUUUUGAAAAAUUGAAUUGCCCCAUAUCAAAUACAAUUUUACCUGUGCUCAGAUUACUGCUAUUUUAGAGUUGAUCUUACGUUUGGAAAAUGAUACUUUUUUUUUAUGUUUUAACGAUCUACACAUUGGCUAAUUAAUUGGUGUGUUUUUCCACCAAACAUGUUCAUCUUAAUCUUUGAGUUUAUCAUUGGAUUGAUCAUAUCUAGUGUGAGUAUAUGUGGUCAAGUCCAAUCAUGUGGUGAAACUAUUUUAAUGUCGAUCUUUAGAGUUAACGAAAAAAUCUCAUUUAUUUCUCAUUAAGACGGGUGUUAAUUAUGAAGAUUGACUAUAUAUAUAUAUAUGCGGAAUUGUAAUUAAUUUGGGAAUAUAGUUCAAAAUAAGACUAAAUACAAGGAGAAGGGAUGAAGACUUUUUUAACUCAUAUUUUACACUAUACUCAAUAUAUUUUGAUACUCUUACUGACUUAGCGAGCAUCAGAAUAUUUUCUACAAGUAGAAUCCCCUCAUUUUCUUAGAGUCAAUUCAUGAAACUUGCAAGGAUAUCAUCCGGUAACCAUCUCAGAGUUUAAUCGACCUCAGCUACUGGUUGAGAGAUAUCCAUUUUCACUAGAACAAUUAGUAUAUUUUAUUAAAUUAAAAACACCUCAUUAUUAUUAUUAUACUUUUAAAAUUAAUACUUAUUAUUAUUCCUUUAAAAUUAAUAUUUAUUAUUAUUUAAAAAUUAAUACUUAUUAUUAUUAUUACUUUAAAAUUAAUAUUUUAUUAUUAAUAUUGUUAUUGUUAUUUUUCCUUUAAGUCUUAAAAAAAUAUUUAUAAAUAAUAUAAUUAUAAUACAUUGUGUCUAAAAAAUAUUACCAUAUAAAUAUUUAGAUAUUGCAUUUUGAAUUGAAAGUGAUGAGAUAAUACAUUGAUUCACGAUUCACGAUUUAUUGGUACUGAAAACUCAACAUUGACUUAGAACUGAAAGGAGUGUACCAAUAUGAAAGGAGUGUACCAAUACAUAAGAGACUCAUAUUAAAGAAAUAUUGUUAGAAAUUCAUAAGUUUUAAUCACACAUUUAAUAGAAUAAAAAAAUUGAACAACAUAUAAAGAAAGAGAUUGACAAACAUAUUGUUUUUAAAAAAUUUAUUAACCCUAAACCCUAAACAUCUUAUUGAGUUGACAUCCUUGGUUUAGCAUGUCUCUUUCGUAUGUAUUCCUCUAAAAAAUUUAAUAAUUAUAAGAUAAUUUUUUCUAUUCAUAUAAUUUUGUUUUACAAAAAUAACUAUUUUACAUCAAUCUUAAAUAACUCCAUCUUCUCAAAAUAGUUUCUUUUCAAAGUAGUGUGUGCCUUCUCAAAUAAAUUUCCAAAUAUACUUUAUUAAUUUAAAUGUCUCCAUUUUUACUUUUCCCUUUGUUAUUCUAAAAUCAUCUGCAAACACAAAAGUGGAGUCAAACCAAAUCAUCUGUUUAAAACCAAAACUGUAACUAUAUAUUAUUUUUAGUGAAUAUAAAUUGUAAAUUGGUAUGAAGAAGCUAAAUAGGAUAUGGACUUAAGACACCAUUUUCAACCAAAAAAUUUUAAAUAAUGUUAUUUACUUACUCAUUUAUGCCCUAUGACAGUUUGAUCUGAUUUCAAGUCUUAACCAGACAAGAAACAAUGACGACAAGACACAAAGAGCUUUAAGAAAGGAGGAAGUGGGACAUGGUAGUGAUUUGGAGGGAUAAGGUUGGUGCUGUAAAACAGACACAUGUUCUGUUUAACAAAAAAAUAUUAUAGCUUAGAAGAUAUGGGUGAUGAUAGAGUAGUUGGAUGAGUGUGUGUGCGACACACUGCAUGUGACACGGUCCCACACUUUAUCUUCUGAUUUGAUUUCUGCAGUUAAAGCUGUGUGCAGCGAAUCGACUUCAUCAUCUUUUGUCGUUAUUCGUUGCCAUUUUCACACGCGCAUAAUGCAUUUCAAAGCUCCAUUGGAUAAUUCUAGAGGAAUUUCCCCACAAUUUCUUUUCCAUCAAUGUGUAAGUAAUGCUAUAUUUACUUUAACUGGCUUAAAUUAAAUAAAAAACAAUUUUUUAAAAAUAAAAAAUAAUUAAUUACUAUAUUAAAUAAAUUAAAUACUACUUUAAAAAUUCAAAAAAUUAUUAGUAUCUAAAUUAAUUUUUAUUAUUGAUAAAUAAUUUAUAAAUUUAGAUUUUAAAAUUGGUAGUUAUUCUAAUACAUAAUAAUUUCCCAUCAUUAAGGAGUCGAGAGAUCAAAAUCAUUUUAUAUAUACUUUAUCACUUAAUCCAUUGAGACACUGUUCUUAACGGACAAUACUAGAUCAGAAUGAUCGUUGAUUAAAUACUAAUUUAAAAACUAUUUAUCAGUAAUAUAAAUUAAUUUAGAUACUAAUAUUUUUUUAAUUUCUAAAAUAAUAUAUAAUUUAACUAAUAUAAUAAUUAUAAAAUGUUUUUAUUAUAUUUAUCUUACAUUAGAUAUGACUGAUAUUUACGAGACUUUAGAAUAAUUUGAUAUAAAAUAAAAUUUGAGUCUAAUUUAGCUUUAUAAAUUUGAUAUUUAAGUUGAAAUUUAUACACAUAUUUAUGUACUACAAAAAUAUCUUUAUCUACAAUGAAAUCUCCAACAAUUUAUUGUUAAAAAAUAUUAGUUUUAUUUUCAUAACUUUUAAAAGAUAAAAUUUUCAUUUCUAUUGGUGUAAAGUUAUAUAAAAUGAUUAUUUGUAUUAAAAAAAUAGUUGGUUCUGUCACUGUCAGGUUUGAAACAAAGGAAUCCCAUCGUUGGAAGUAGAGAAACCUCGAGUUCCUCAUGGGCAAUAUAAUAUUAUAUUUUAAUUAGCAAAGAAAAAAAAAAUAAUAAUCUACAUCGUGAUCUUAGGUUUGGUUGUUAAAGAAUCAAAUCAUGUUCAAACAAAGCAUGCUUCUCGAGUGAGAAAGAUAAUCAUAUUUUAUUACGAAAACAGGGAUGGUUUACGUCAACUUAUUCUUUUUUUUAUCAUUUGAUGAUUGUCAAAUAGGAAUUUUUACUACAUUUUAAACUCAAAAUCAUUUUUUUAAAACGAUCACGUAUUCAAAAUACAAUUUACUUAUUUAAAAAAGUAAAAAAAAAACUUAUUUUUAAGAAAAGUAUAUUAAAUGAACACAUAAAAAAUUGAAAGACAUAUCAUCCAAUAAUUUAUCCAUUUUCAGUUGGCUGAUAUUUAAAAAAAAUUAAGUAUAUAAAAUACGAUAUUUAUGUAUUUAAAUAUAAAAAAGAAGAAGUUUUGAAUGAUUAUCAUAUAAGAAAUUAUUAACUAUAAUGAAAAAAAAAACUGUUUAGAACCUUCUUCUGUUGUAAUGGAGUUGCAUUCAAAUUUAUUGUAAUAAGAUUUUCAGAAAGAUAACUUAUUAUUAUUCUAUAAGGAUAAAAUCCCAAAAUUUCAUCUUUUUCUAGUAGCAACUCUAUUUUUUUUUAUAAAUAUUGGGUAACCUAAAGGAUAAUGAAAGUCUAGUUUCAUGAUCUUUAGAAUUUUCUAAUAGUAAUUGAAGCAUUAUUUUACUCUAUUUAAACACAAUAGAGUUAAAUAUAAAGUGAUUUUUAUUUAUUUAUUUUUUAUUAUUGGUAAAAAAUAAUAGGAAAAACUUAAAUUUUAAAUUCUGUUACUAUUCUCAUAAUAUUAGGAAUAUGUUUCCAUAAAUUCAGGACAUAUAUUUUUUAUUAUGAUAUUAAAAAUUAAAAGUGGUACUUACUUUUUAGUUGUAAGGUUUAACAAGAAUAAUCAGCUAAUUUUUUUUUUUAUAAAAGUAAUUCUAUAGUGAAAGGGAAAGUGAAAGUGAAAGUGAAAAAGAAAAGAAAAUAAUGAGACAUAUAUUAUUUUAUUUUUUUGGUGAGUAAGUAUUAUCAUAUAUAAAAUUGUAUUUGUUUGUUUUUGAAAAAAUAUGGGCAGUAACAGUGACACAUUGAAGAUUGUCUAUACCCACAUUUUCAAUUUUGUCCACCAUUUCCCCAUACAUACACUCCUCUUAUUUAAUUUCCUAUUUAUUGGGAUUAUUAAUUAUUAAUUUGGUCUUUUAACAGAGAAUAAGACAAUUUAAAUGAUGUUUUGGAUGAAUUGAAAUAUAUUUUGUUUGUUGAAUGUGUGAUUGUUUUUUCUUAAAAUUGUAAAAUGGUGUUAUUAAACAUGAUGAUAAUGUUCAAGUGUUGUUCACCGCUUAAGCAAUAUUUAAAUGGUGUAUAAAAUAAAUUUUAUUGUUAACUAGUAGUAUUCGAUAAAAAAAAAUGUAGAUGUUAAAGGAAUAAGAAAAUAUUUUAUGUUAGAAGUCUAUAGCUAGAAUAAGAGAGAUUAAAAUAACUUGUUCAAAUGAGGUUAUUCAAGCAACUAUGUCGCCGUUCAAGCAAGAUCCAUGAUAAUGGUGCAUACAUUCACAUCACAAUGUUCAAGUGGUAUCAUGAAAACUCAAAUGUUAGUGAAACAAUGUGUUUUAUGUUAUGAACCUUAUUAGAAGAGGUCCAAUACAUAUAUUAUUCAAGCAUUGUGAGAAUGUUCAAGCGAUAAACUCUCAAGUGAAGAGAAUGUAGUUUGAGUGAAUAAAAGUCUUAACUAAAAUUACUAUCUAGAGGUAUCUCUCCUAAGUAAUAUGAAACUACUUCUUAAUGAGUAAUAUGAAUCAUUGGUGUGAGAUAUAUAUGCCUGAUACAUUCUUAGGUAGUCAUACUUUUAAUGUCAGCGAUCUAACUCCUUUUUCUGUAGGUCUCCAGAAUUCGUGGUCGAAUUCUCUCCAACUCGGGGAGUAUGAUGGAGAUCAAGCCCAAGAGAACAUGGAGGCCACUCAUCAAGCUCAAGAAGAGGUGGNNNNNNNNNNNNNNNNNNNNNNNNNNNNNNNNNNNNNNNNNNNNNNNNNNNNNNNNNNNNNNNNNNNNNNNNNNNNNNNNNNNNNNNNNNNNNNNNNNNNNNNNNNNNNNNNNNNNNNNNNNNNNNNNNNNNNNNNNNNNNNNNNNNNNNNNNNNNNNNNNNNNNNNNNNNNNNNNNNNNNNNNNNNNNNNNNNNNNNNNNNNNNNNNNNNNNNNNNNNNNNNNNNNNNNNNNNNNNNNNNNNNNNNNNNNNNNNNNNNNNNNNNNUCGAUGCAACGUACCUAAUAAUUUAAGCUUUUUCCUUUUAAUACUUAAAAAAAAAAUCCUAAAGAACUUUUAGAUGGGUUUUCCAAAGAUUAAAUCCUACAAAAAUAACAUCCCCUUAUCACCAAUUACUCAAGAUGAAUAGAAAAUAAUAAUAUAUUAUUGAUAGAAAUUGAGUCACUUGUUUAAUUAGUCUAUAUUAUUCCCUAUUUUUCCGCUUUCUCAAGUCUGAAAAAUGAUACCACACCAUAAUAGUCAUAAUUUUUUCUCAUCUUAGAGAUAGUUUAGAAAAAAAGUUUUUUAUUAAAAUAAAUAUUUAACUUUUAUUUAUACACUACCUAUUUCUUGUUAAUUUAAAAUUGCAUCUUAAAAUAAAAUUAAAGGCUUAUACAACACACUAUAACUAAUAUAUUGAACGAGUUUUGUACACUCCAAAGUUCAAUGUUUUUAGUGUUUCAAAAUAUUGCACGUGUUAUAAUAAUACGGUAGCAGACCAUGUUUAUCAUGGCAUUCAUCCACACACUUUGUAGUCACUCGAAAUUUAUUUCUAAUUAUUAUAUUUAUUUUCUCUAGGAUAUCAUUAUUUGAGUGAUUAGAUAUUUUAUGUUUACAUAGAAUUAUAUAAUAACUCAUGGUUGACUCCAGUCAUUAGUAAAAAUUAAUUGAAUUAAAGAAAAGUAUAUUAUUUUGAAAGAAUAUUUAAAUAAAAAGUUUUAAAAACAUUGAAUUUAGUAAAAGAAUUACGAAAUUCUCUUUUUAUAAAUUUUGGUGUUUGAUUUGUUAAUUUUUCCUCACUGCUAGCAAGGUUGAGCUUUUGUGAUAAAGAAUAACUCUAAAUUUUUUUUUUUUGGAGUUUGUAAUAAAUUGGGUUGUAAAUUUUUUUUAAAAGAUAAAAAUAAUUAAUAAAAUAGAGAUAUUUCAUGUAUACCACAACUUUUAUAGAAAACAACUUUAUUGCAGAGUGAAUUUUAAACCUAACUCAACUCCAUAAAAUCAGUUUAAUGAAAUGAGGUUUGCAUCCACUUAUAUACUAUGAAAGACUCUAAUCUCUAGUCGAUGUGGGAUCUCCAACAAACUUACAUCUUAGAUUCUUGCACUAUGAGAAACAUGCAACUUAGACAAACAAAAAAGUCAUUUUUACAAAUCUCUAUAAAAUUGGGAUGUGAGAUAUUAUCUUAUCUCUCUUCUUAAUUCUAAUAUAAGGGUUGAGUCAUCUUUAAAAUAUCUAUAUUUAUUUAUUAUUUUUAAUAAAAAAAAUCUGAUUUUAUACUGUAGUUGUACGUACUAUAGCUGAUUGAUAUAUAUGUGUUUUUUUUAUAUACUAUCUAUUUGAUGAUUCAUAACUCAAACUCUAUUAUUUUUCCAUAUUCUUUCCACCUCAUCAUCAUCCACGAGGGAAAACAGUGCAGGUAAGGUAAUCAUGUAUCACUAUCACCCUUACAAAUGAUCAAGGAAUGGUGAGAGGCCAUAUUGCAAUUUAGCAGAAAAAUAUCAGAAAAUUACUUCAGUAGAGAGAGGUAAUUCAGCAUUGGUUGAAAUGACUUUGUUCUUGGAACACGUGAUAUUGAUCUAUAAAUAGGGUGUUGUGGAGAGGGUAGAAGGCACAAACAAGGCACAAGGCUUUGAAGAAAGAAGAAGAGUGUGUGGUGUUGUGUUUUAUUGGCAAAGAUGUUUGGAAUCCUAGGAGGAGGAAAGGGUCACAAGAUAAAGGGAACAGUGGUGUUGAUGACCAAGAAUGUGUUGGACUUCAACGAAGUAGUGUCCACUGCUGGUGGUGGUGUGCUUGGUAUUGCUGGUGGCAUCUUUGGAACUGCAAACAAAGUAGUCGGAGGAAUAGUUGACGGCGCCACCGCCAUCUUCAGCCGCAACAUUGCCCUACAGUUGGUCAGCGCCACCAAGACUGAUGGUUUGUUUCUUCCUUCUGUUUUCUUCUGCAGUUCAAAAUAACUCUUCUGCUUCUUUCAACAUGUAGUUUAUCAAGAAACUAACAUAGACAUAAACAAUCCAACCACACUUUUUAAAACAACUUCUUAUGUUAGAUUUGAAGAACAGUAAUAAUAUAUUCACAUGUACCAGGUUAUAACUGAUUAAACUGGUGACAGUUGUUAAAGUUACACUUUAGUUUGAAGAUAAUAGUUUCUACAGUUAUUUCUCACUUCUCACUUUCAUCAUUGUUAAACUCUUGAUAAUUAUGACUGUACAAAAUUUUCAUUUCAUAAACAUUCAGUUUAAAGAGUCAUGAUCUCUAUCUGUUUUGGGUAAAUUGAAGUAGAAAAAAUAGAGAUGAACAAGAUAAUAAAAAAAGAGUUAUUUAUUUAUUUAUUUAUGGUGUAAAUCUUUCACGUACUUAAACAUGAUUGUUUAUUAUAUAUUCUCGAUUGCAUGAUUUGGAAAGAGAAUUUUAUCUUUAUUUUUAUUUGAAGUAGUUAGACAACUCCAAAAUAUAAUGAAUAGAAUAAAUGAUACGAUCCAUAAUGAACAUAAUGAUUUGUACAAAACAACAAACUUGUUUUAUUAAAAAGAAUUAUUAGAUCUGAACAUUUAAAAAAUAAAAUUGUUAGUGUUGAUAUUAAAGUAAGUUUAUAUUGAUUUAUAAUAGGAUAUAUUAUAUUAUUAUAAGGUAUUUAUAUAUUAUCAAUACUUAAAAUACUUAUUUACUGUGGACUUUCAGAAUAUAUUUUAAAAGAUGAUAUUCUUUUCAAGGAUUAGACAGUUUUUUUUAUUAGCUUUGAUUAGGGACACUAUCAUGAAGAUAUUUUUAUAAAAUGAAUUAGGAUUUUUUUUUUCUGAAAGAGCAGGGAUAGAGAAAAAAAAUAUUAAUAUUCUUUAAUUUUUUUCUUAUUUUAUAUUAUUUUUAAUUUAACUGAAUAAAAUUGACCCGGAUUGAUAUUUUUCCAUUCUAUUUAUAAUUAUAGUUGAUAUUAUAAUAAAUGUAGCACUUUUUUUUAGACAUAUAAAUACAAACAAAACUACAUUAAGUUCAUAUUUGAAAAAUAAACAUUACAAUAUAUAUAAUAAUAUUGUUUAUUAUAAUAAUUAUUUUAAAAAUGAUAUUAUAGUAUUACUUCUUAUUAAUUAGUUAAUGACAUAAACAUAUUUUAUCCUCUCUUUAUAUAUAAAUUAAAUUCUGUUUUCAAACUCUAUUAUUGUCUGUUUUAAAUUGAAAUGACAGCUUUUCCAAGACAGUGAUAACAGUGAACCUUUGUGUGGAAGAUAAUAGUUCUUUUUACGUGAACACACGAGAGCAGAUUAAGGUUUAGUUUGGAAAGAACAAGAAAAAUGGUUUUGUGGCAUUUAAACAUGUGAAGAAAAGAAGAUAAAGAAAGUGAGAAAAAGAGAGAAGAAAGAGAGGAUUUUUUUAAUAAUUCUUUUAAACUAUGAUUGUGAUUUUUUAACAAUUCAGUGAUGGAUUGUGGAUAAAAAGUAAUUGGGUAAGUAUAAAUUUUUGAAAAGCACUUUUGAAUUUGAAUGCACAAUGAGUAUGAGUUUUCUUUGUAUGUGCUUAUUUUUCAGGGCUUGGAAAUGGAAAGGUUGGAAAGCAAACGUUUUUGGAGAAUCAUCUUCCUUCGUUACCAACCUUGGGAGAUAGGCAAGAUGCAUUCAAUAUUUCUUUUGAAUGGGAUGAGAGUUUUGGAAUUCCAGGAGCAUUCUACAUCAAAAACUUUAUGCAAGCUGAGUUUUUCCUUGUGAGUCUCACUCUUGAAGACAUUCCAAAUCAUGGAACCAUUCACUUUGUGUGCAACUCCUGGGUUUACAACGCAAAAAAUUACAAAAAGGACCGUAUUUUCUUUGUCAACAAGGUAACUAACAUGAAAUUCAAGUACUAUUUUCCUAAACUUUCACAUAAUUUAGCCCAUUUUAAUGAAGAAAUUCAUCAAACAUGUUGCAGACAUAUGUUCCAAGUGAAACUCCAACUCCACUGGUUAAGUACAGAAAAGAAGAAUUGGAAAACCUAAGAGGGGAUGGAACUGGGCAGCGUAAGGUAUCUGAUAGGAUCUAUGAUUAUGAUGUGUAUAAUGAUUUGGGCAACCCAGACAAGAGUGCAGAUCUGGCUCGUCCUGUUCUUGGAGGUUCUAGUGCCUAUCCAUACCCUCGCAGAGGAAGAACUGGGAGAAAAGCAUCAAAAAGAGGUUAGGAUUUAAUUUUUCUAUUUUAGAUAAUCAAUUCCAAUGCAUGGUGAUAAAGUAAUUUGCCUCAAUGAAAUUGUACCUUGAUGUAGAGCUGUACUAUUAUAAGUUAGAUUUUUGUUUUUUGAAAGUGCAAUUACUUAUUAUUAUUAUUAUUAUCAUUAUCAUUAUGAUUGAGGAUACAAAAUUGAUUUUACUUUUAUUAACAGAUCCUAAGAGUGAGGCACCAGCCAGCGACACUUACAUUCCAAGAGAUGAAAAUUUUGGUCACUUGAAGUCAUCAGACUUUCUUACAUAUGGAAUAAAGUCCUUGGCUCAAAGUGUCUUACCUCAAUUUCAAUCUGCAUUUGGUUUAAAUGCUGAGUUUGAUAAGUUUGAUGACGUUCGUGGAUUCUUUGAAGGUGGAAUUCAUCUUCCUACAGACGUAAUAAGCAACAUUAGCCCCUUACCAGUGAUAAAGGAAAUCUUCCGCACUGAUGGUGAACAAGUCCUCAAGUUUCCACCACCUCAUGUCAUCCAAGGUAUUGUUUGCUUACAAGUCACAUAUAUAUCUCAAGUAAAAUCAACUGAAAUUACUUCACAUCCAAUAUUUAUCAUAUUUAACAUUUACAUGUUUUUCAUAUUAUUUGGAGCAGUUAGUAAGUCUGCAUGGAUGACUGAUGAAGAAUUUGGAAGAGAGAUGCUUGCUGGUGUUAAUCCUUGCCUAAUUCAACGCCUUCAAGUAAAUAAUGCUUUAUUGUUCAUUAAAUUGGAAUGAUUUGGUUUUCAUUUGAAUUAUAUUCGUUGUUUCUCAUGUUAAUUUACUGGCAAUGUUAUUUAAUGAAUGACAGGAGUUCCCUCCAAAGAGCAAGCUAGAUGCUUCUGUGUAUGGUGAUCAAACUAGCACAAUUACUAAAGAAAAUUUGGAGAUCAACCUUGGUGGACUCACUGUGGAAGAGGUGAAUGAUAUUUAUUAAUUCCAUGGCAAAAUGAUACAUGAAUCUCCAUUUAACCAUGACACUGAAUGUUUAUAAUGAUAUUUGUUCAACAGGCAUUGAAUGGUAACAAACUGUUCAUAUUAGAUCACCAUGAUGCAUUCCUACCAUAUCUGAGGAAGAUCAAUGACCUACCCACCGCAAAGUCUUAUGCCACAAGGACAAUCCUUUUCUUGAAAGAUGAUGGCACAUUGAAGCCAUUGGCUAUUGAAUUAAGUCUUCCACAUCCUAGGGGAGAUGAGUUUGGUGCUGUUAGCAGAGUUAUCUUGCCUGCAGACCAAGGCGCUGAAAGCACAAUUUGGCUAUUGGCUAAGGCUUAUGUUGUAGUAAAUGACUCUUGCUAUCAUCAACUCAUGAGCCACUGGUAUGCAUAAACUCUCCCAUUUGUCAUCACUUAUCAUAAACCAACUAUUAAGUGAUUCUUAAUUUAUUUGGUUUGCCAUAUCAUUUGAUCACAGGCUAAAUACCCAUGCCACAAUUGAGCCCUUUGUCAUAGCAACAAAUAGGCAUCUCAGUGUGCUCCACCCUAUAUACAAACUCUUGUCGCCUCACUAUCGUGACACCAUGAAUAUCAAUGGACUUGCACGACAAUCACUCAUCAAUGCAGGUGGUAUUAUUGAGCAAUCAUUUUUGCCCGGGCCAUUCUCUGUGGAGAUGUCUUCAGCAGUUUACAAAAGUUGGGUUUUCACUGAUCAGGCUCUUCCUGCUGAUCUUAUUAAGAGGUAAUAUUUAUGCAUUACUGUAAAAAUUUUCAAGUUAAAAUUGUUCAUUUAUUUCAUACCAACAUUGUGUGUCCUUUUAAUCUAUUUUCUGAAGAAACUUUAGUAAAUAUUAAAAGAUCUUGAUUUUUAUACAUUGUCAAUGUAAACCCAUUAUAAAUAACGUCAAGUAUUAUUUUAUGGUAUUGUGGUAGAAACUAACCAACUUAUCAUAAAUACAAUAUGUUAUUGGAUUAACAUAUAAAAGUCUUUUACUCUUUGUGCAUUAUGUAUAUUUUAUAUUUAAAAUGUUAAAAGCGAGUAUUGCCUUGUGGAAGUUAAAGACUGAUGAGAUAGUCAAAAUUCAUUUCAAUGAUAUUAUUUACUUAAGUAAAAUUGUUUUUUAUCUAAAAAAUGAAAGAGAAAUUUGGUGUUAACAACAAGUCCUUUGUUAUCUCCUUGAUUCAGAGGAAUGGCAAUUGAGGAUCCAUCCUCUCCACAUGGCCUUCGUCUAGUGAUUGAUGACUACCCUUAUGCUGUCGAUGGACUAGAGAUAUGGAGUGCUAUCCAGUCCUGGGUUAAAGACUAUGUCUCAUUGUACUAUGCCACAGAUGAUGCAAUUAAGAAAGACACAGAACUCCAAACUUGGUGGAAGGAAGCUGUUGAGAAGGGUCAUGGUGACUUGAAAGACAAACCAUGGUGGCCAAAGUUGAACACUCCUCAAAAUCUGAUUCACAUUUGCAGCAUUAUAAUAUGGACUGCUUCAGCUCUCCAUGCAGCUGUUAAUUUUGGACAAUACCCUUAUGGAGGUUACAUCCUAAACCGUCCAACUCUAACCAGAAGAUUGAUCCCAGAGCCAGGAACCAAAGAAUAUGAUGAGCUGAGCAGCAAUCAUCAAAAGGCUUAUCUGAGAACAAUUACAGGAAAAUAUGAGGCCAUUGUGGACCUUUCUGUGAUAGAGAUAUUGUCAAGACAUGCUUCUGAUGAGGUCUAUCUUGGACAGAGGGACAAUCCUAAUUGGACCGAUGAUACAAAGGCUCUUCAAGCCUUUCAAAAGUUUGGAAACAAACUGAAGGAAAUUGAGAAUAAGAUCUUAGGAAGGAACAACAAUUCAAGUCUCAGAAACCGUGUUGGGCCAGUUAAGAUGCCCUACACUGUGCUUCUUCCUACCAGUAAGGAAGGUCUCACUUUCAGAGGAAUCCCCAACAGCAUCUCUAUUUAAGGAGUCUACCUGUGUGGUUUAAUGUCUGUCCUACUUUAUCGCUCAAUACCAAAUAAUUAUGUUUGCUUGUCUCUGCAUAAUUGUCGGGUGUAUGCUUAAGUAAUGUAUGGGGAUCUUACAUGGUUCUCCUUUUAAUAAGAGUGGUAUCAUUUUGUGUUAAGUAUUGGGUUAUAUAAGUCUGAUAUCUCGGAUUUUGAAUAUCAAAUCAAAUUUCUCUCUGCCAUAUACAUUUUUAACAUAAACCUGUUGCAUGACUUUGAUUUGGGUAUCUAAAUUUCUACCUCAUAAAAAACAGAACAAGCUUCAUUUUUUUUUCCUUAAAUACUACUAAUAAUUAUUUUACUUUUUGAAGAAAAUAAAAAUGGAAUCAAGAAGAAGUAUUUUAAAAUAAAAGCAAAGAGAAAAAAUAAAAUAAUUGUAAUAAUAAAAAACUCUUUUCUACUUAUUGCAGUUCUGUUUCACUUUGCAUAUCCCUAGCCCGUCUCACUCUUUUCCUUUCCACACCCAUUUGCUUCUCUCCACGCACCCAUGCCACUCUUUUUUCUCACCCCAUUCUCAGUGCCACGCCGCCGCGCCGUCAACCGUUGCCAUCCAUCAUCAUCCUGCAUAUGUUUUUUAUUUUCCUCAUAUUUUUGGUUUCUUAUCACCUUUUCUCUCUCUUCAUUGAUUCAUACACUCAUAAAACAUAUUUAAAUGGCGGGUUCCACGUUUUUUUAUACAAACAAGAUAAAAUUAAAUUCAAAAUUCAAACAUAACAAAAAAAGAAUCUGAGCCCAUUCCGCAGCCCGACUUACGUUUUCUCACUGCACCCCUCCUUUACCGUCACACUCCUCUUAUUUCAAAACAAGGGAAAUCUGGGCACAUUCUGCUGGUCCAGCUACUUUUUACUUUCUGACCCCUUUGUCUACCUGCGCGACCCUCACUCAAAGCUUAACCAUAUUUACUCUAGCACGUUUUUUGUUUUUAAUUUUUAUUAAUAAAAAUUUGAAAAAUAAUAAAUAAAUUAGCAAGGGGCGACUCCUUCUUAAUUUUUUUUGUGUGAAAAUCUUAUUUUAUUUCGCAUCCCAUCGUUACCGCGAUAGAUCUUAAAACUAGGUUGUUGCCACUAUACAAUAACAAAGACACCACUAAUAAAGGUCUUAUAUCAAUCUUUGUGAAAAAGUUGUAUCGUGACACCAACAAUUUAUAUUUCUCUGUUGGUGAGAUGACCAUCACUUCGGAUGAUGUGCUAGUAUUGCUACAUCUUCCCAUUGUGGGAUAGUUUUUUUCGUAUAUGAUUUUGGAUUUUAAAUCAACUUUAUCAUUGUUGGUUGAGCUCUUUGACUUGGAGUUUGGUGAUGCUACAACAGAGUUGAGCGAGUGUUGUUGAUAUACAAACCAAAGGAUCAAGUUACCAAUCAAAAUAAAAAAAAACACGUAGAGGCAAAAUUAUAAGUAACUCAAGAUCAUACCUUCAAUUGAACCAGAGAUGACCAAACACAACAUCUUUAAAAAAGUAUUUAUUCAUAUGUCUCCAAAUCUCAACAAUAACUGCAAUCUAGAUACUUCCCCAAACAACAUUAACAGGUACAUUAAAAAGCAUUAAAAAGUUUGAAUUGGUGGAAGUGUGAAAGAGGAUCAUGAUGAUCUACCAAUGCCAACUCUAACCAAACAUAACAAUGGUUCCAAUCGAGCCAGACAAUUAAAAGUAAGAAAAAUCCCUUUAUAAAUUAACUAUUUCAUCUUGCACUCCUGCAAAAAAAAGUUGUUACUCCUCCAAAAGUCCACUUUAAUUAACAUAAGAACGUCUCCUCAAACCUACAAAACACACUGCUACAUCCUUCCUAAAGCAAGAGGUUGACUAUACAAAUUCUCUAAUAUGAAACAUUACUCCUUAACAUAUUUCAUACAUUCCAAUGAUUUCAUACACCAUUCAAAAUGAGAGAAAUCAGCAAAAAAAAAUUACAUGUAAUCCAAGUCUAGGUUUUUCUUUGUAAACCCUAAACCCAAAACAAGAAAUUAUGAGGUUUUGAAUUUGAAUUCUUUAGAUGUUUCAUGUUCAAGAAAUUGAUUAAGAUUUUUGAAGAUUUGGAUAUUGUGUUAUACUUUAACAACCCCAACUUUUAUGCUUAAAUUUAUGUGAGAUUAUAGUUAAUAAAUGAACUUGAGGUAGAUAAUUUAGUUUGCAUGUGAAAAUUUUACAAAAAUUGAGAAGUAAUGGAGUGAUUUCACGUUAACUAUGUUGAGUGGAGAUGUUUGUUGUUUCUAUGAUAAUAUUUUGAUUAUAUUGGAUAAUUUAAAUUCUUGAAAACCAGAGUUCUUGUAUGUGAAUAAGACUUUUAUAAGUUUAGAAAAAAUGGAGUUCUUAGGGUUAAACAAGUUAUUUUAUACUAUUUAAAUAUUAUUGUAUGAAAGAAUAUAAAAGAAACAAUAAAAAUAUUUGAGUCAUCGGUUUUGUUCAUGACUAAAGAAAAAUGUUACUUUUAAAUUUAUAAUCUAUAAUUUUAAUAAAGUUUAAGAAAACCAAUUUUUUUAAUAAAAUCGUAAAUUUCAAGUUCAUGAAGUUAAAUUUUUAAUUAAAUUAGUUGAUAGAGUGGUAUUUGUGAGUUAAAGUUUUAGUGUGAAGUCCUUUUAAUGAGGCACUUUUGCAAACUUCGAGUUGAAUAAGAUUAAGUUAGAUUAAAGCAUGAAAACUUUGCCUAUACUUAAUUUUAGAGAUCUAGUUAAGUUUAUGGUUUUGCAUAUUUUUGUUGAAGUGAAAUAUUUCUUAUUUAGCUUUUAUUUAGCGAAACUUUUCAAAAGAGAUAAAAGAUAAAUAUCUACUUAAAUAAAAUUUCUUUAGAAAGAAAUGAGAUUUUUUUAAGAAUUUUCCUCAACUAUAUAAAAAUUUGCUAAACGAAUUUAGAUACAACAUGAAGAAUGAAUUAUAUUUUAAAAAAACAACAGAUUAUAAUUGUGCUAAGUGGAUUUCUUAAAAAAAGUUCUUACUCUUUAUUACCUAAUAGGACUGUUCUCUUAAUUUUUUUAUUUAAUUUUAAUAUAUUUUAAUAAAAUUCAUUAUGCUUGUUAAAUUAUUGAGUGUUUAUUUAGGAUUGGUAUGUGGAUGUGAAAUCAUCGAGGUGAUUGAGGUGAGAUACUUAUUAUUAACAGAGUAAUAUUAUGAUGAUUUAAAUUUAAUUUAUAAUGUAAGUAUUAAAUUAUGAAACAUAAAUAUCUAUAUUUUUGUCUUAAAAGUAUAAUGAUAUUCAGGGAUAUAUCAUGUACGAAAAACUAAUGAAAGUUCCUACUACCUAUUUGAGCAUGAGUAGGAAUUUUGAGAAAAACAAUAUCAUGACUCAAAUUGAGAAAGUUGUUCCAAAUUAGAAUUUAUUAUCCUUAAACUAUGUUGGUUAUUAAUUCAGAUUUUAUUAUUAUUAAUUAUGAUUUUAUUACCCUUAAACUAUUUUACCGUUAUAUUCCAUUAAUUCUUAGUAGUCCAUGGUCUUACUAUUAAAAACAAGUUACAUGGCAAGUCAUCAACCUUUUUAUAAGAAAUAAAAUGAGUCAUUUUGGAAAAUCUUAAACAACCACGAGGAUAAAAUCUUUCUCCCAUUGAGUCUAUUGCAAACUUCCAUUGAAAUAUCAAGUCAAAAAUUAUUAGGAAAAGACAAAGGAAUGUACAAACCAUGUGGUUUCAUUAUUGAUUUGACCUUUUUACAAGUAAUGCAAUUUUUACAAAAUUUGUUCACAUCACAUUUCAUGUGAGGCCAUUAAUAAUGUUCAUACAAACUAUUUAAGGUAUUUUGAACCCCAAAGUGUCCCACUAACCCUCCCUCAUGUACUUCUCUAACUAAAAGAUCCUUAAUAGAACAUUUAGGCACACAAAAUCUUAUCUCUUUAAACAAAUAAUCAUUGUGCCUAAAAUAUCCAUUGGUGCUAAAAGUUUACGAGAAACAAAAGUUCCAGAAAAUUCAUAAUCAUGUGAAUAAAUUUCUUUCAAAAAUUUAAGACAAUUUUUUUGUUUGUUUAAAAAGUAGAAAUCAAAACAUGUCUUCUAGAUAAAACAUCAAGUACAAUAUUUUAUUUUCCUUUUUUUAUGCUUUAUGACAUACAAAAAUUAUUCUAAAACUUCAACUCAUUUGACAUGUCUUUUAUUUAAUUUUUGGCCUUUUAAAUAUUUUAAAGACUUAUGAUUUAUAUGAAUAAGAAAUUCUUUAUGUAAAAUAAAUAUGUCAAGUUUGUAACACUCUCACCGAGGCAUACAAUUGUUUAUCAUAAGUGGGAUAGUUUAGGGUGAUCCCUUUUAACUUCUCAUUAAAAUAAGCAAUUAAAUGACUUUAUUUCAUAAAAAAAAACCCUUAUACCCACAUUAGAUAAUGCACCACACUCAAUUUCAAAAGAUGUUGUGAAGUUUAGUAAUGCAAGAAUGUGAACAUUAGUCAAUUCAUGUUUAAGGGCAACUAAAACUUUUUCUUGUGUUUCCCUUUUGAAUGCGGGAAUAUUAAAUUUGAUCUUAUCCAAUCCCAGUUGUCUUUGUUCUCCUUCUUCUUCUUUUUUUCUCUCUUUUUAAACUUUUUUUUUUCUUUUACCCUUUGUUUUUAACUUUUUUUUUAACUUCUUUCCUUUAUCUUUAUACAUAUAAUUGAAAUUUCAUUUUAGAGUCUCACAAUCAUCACACAUAACACGCACAUGCACACACGAACCCACACACUCGCACACACACUCACACAAAUUGGAAAUUCACAGGAGACGAAUUGGAAUCAAUCAACAAUUUUAAGUUGAAAAGAAUAUCAAAUAAAUAAGGUGCCACAAAUAAGGUUUAAUAAGCCUAAUAAUGGUCAUCUAAAGAAUUAGUAAAUUCUUGAUAAUAUCAGAAGAUGCAAGGGAAUAAUCCUAACAAAGAAACUAUCACUCUUAUUUUGGCAAAAUAAUUAUUUUUUAUUCUGAAUUCUAAAAAUAUAUUUAUAGAUUUUGCUUCGUUUGUAAGUAAAUAAUGAGAUCUCACAUCACUACAAGAAAAUCACAAAAUAGAAAUUAAUAAUAAAUAGUUGCUAUAGUGACUAAAUUAGAGACCAUUUUAGAAAUUAAAAAAAAAUUGGUUUCUAAAUUAAUUUCUAUUAUUGUUAAAUAGUUUCUAAAUUGGUAAUGCAUCAUAUAUAAAUAAUGACAUUUUAUAGUAUAUAGGUGAGAGCAAACCUCACCUUAUAUUCUGAUUUUGUAAAAUUAAAUUAUACUUAUAAUCUACUUCUUAAUAAAUAAAAAUAAAAUAUAAUUUAUAUAUUUCAAAAAAAUAUAAUAUUGUCUUAAUAGUUAGAUUAAGACAUUUUGAUUCUGGAUUCAAAUUCUAACCCUAACUAAAAUAUUAAUCAGUAUUUUAGCAGUUCAAGCAUGUGUUUUUUCUAAGUCUUUUAAAUACUUCAGAUAAGAUUAUUAAAAUAAUUUGAGGAGAAGAAGAUAAGACACCAUUAUUGUCCUUGGAAGCAAAACAAGUGGAAGACAAGAGUGUAGGGGAGGGGUUGAAAACCCAAUGCCGACAUGUAUGUGGAGUAAUAGUACAAUGUCCUCUAUUCUAACACUAUUUCUCUUUCUACAUAAAAUAAAAAUAAUAAUUUUUAGACAUUUUAAAUCUCACUCAAUACUUUGUGAAAAUAAUUAAAAUUUAUAUAUUUAGAUGUAAAUAAAAACAAAAAAAAAAUUAGUAGAAAGUAUUUUAGUAUUUUACAGCAUUUUUAAAAUGGGUAUUUAAAAAUUAUUACUCUUUUGCUUAAAUAAAAUAAAUAAUUUUUUUAAGGGUUUAGUUCUUAAAUUAACUCCGUUAAAUAGAAUACAUAAUUUUUUUUGUAAACUUUAUGUUUGAUUUAUAUAAAUAAAUAAUCCUUUUAACUAUUUUUUUUUGUUUUGAAGUUAAAAACUGGUUGCGUACAGUUUGGUGAAGCUUUUGUCGUUUGUGGUUGUUCCUUUACACUCUUUUGAACGUGCAAAAUAUGUUUAAUUAGAACAGAACAUUUGGAUAAUGUUUGACCAGAAUAUUUUAAUACCUUUUUAUUUAUUUAAAAUAAACACUAAUUUUAAUGUAUAUGUUCUUCGAUGAGUCGGAAUAUUUAUAUACGCCUGUACAAAAUUAUGUUAUUCAUAAUUAACGUGAAGUCGUAACUAUAUAAAUUCUAAAAUAUUAGGAAUAAUUUAUAAUAAAAAAUUAAUUUUAGGUGAUUUUUUAAAUGUAAUUUUAAUUGAUCAAAGUUAUAUAAUUGAUGAAAUUAUUGAUGGAUUUUCAUGAUUAAUUUGUUCCAAAAUUUUACUAUUAAAUCUGGAAGCUAUUUACAUUCAAUAUAUUCGUUAACUUGGUUAAUAACAAAUAAAAAUUCAAAAUAAUUUCAAUUUAAAAAAGUUACUAUUUGGAUUUUGUAUUUGUAUACAUAAUAAAGUAGUUUGUUCACUUCAAGUCUUCUUCUUUAAUUGUUGGUGUUAGGUUGAAAGGUUGACUGAAAAAGUUACUCUGACGAUCAAGUAAUUAUUUUGUGUUAAAAGUGUAUAGUGAAAACUGAUUAAAGUGUAUCUUACACAUUUGUCUCUGUAGAGGGUUUAUUUAUAGUGUUUAAUCAUGAACUUUUGUUGUGAUGGAUUGAAUCUAUCAAAUAUUAGUGUUAAUUGAUUUCUAGCAUGAUCAUUGAUUUAUAGGGAGAUAUAUUUGUAUAUUUGGAAAAUAUAUUUAAUAAGUCAAUAUUUUCCACUAAAUCAGUGUUAGUUGGUUUUUAGGGGAUGUCACCCAAAAUCGGUGGGACAUUUUUUUUAUCGACAAAAAGGAAUGGAAUAAAUGAAGGUAUUUCAGGAUACCUCAACCUUAUACAAAAACAACGACGUCCUUCACCCUACCACUCACAUUGAGAGCUUUAAAGUGGACAACACGAGGGAAAGUUUGUCGUCUACCCAUACUCAAAUACAAAAAACAACACCUCUAACUUGAGUCAAAUCAGCUCAACUUGACCUCCCCCCUCUAACCUUUUCUAUUUUUUAUUGACCUCAUGCGUACCAAAGGUUCAAGACACCAAUCUAAGUAAGAAAAAAACAUGCUAAACGUACCUUCGAGAUGACCCAUGACCAAACCUGCAGCUGCGCCAUUGUGAAGAUUUCUAUGUGAUCCAUGCGUCCAUUCUUGAAAACCUUUGUUUCCAAAUUUCGCCUAUAACUGCUAUCCACACACAAUUCCAGAUCCGGUUAAUACCUUUGCUUUCCUCGUUCAUCCUGAAGUGAGACAAAAGUAUUUUUGAAUCCUGAUGAACCAUCGCUGUCCUGCCCACCCACUCAAAGCACUUUGCCCAAACCAACCACGCUACCCUACACGUACUAAAUAGAGAUGAAGCGUUGUUUCAAUCCUCCCCACACAUAUUACAUAUGCUACUCUCCACCGUGAUCCCCUCCGUUAGUUUUAGUCGCAAUUUUGUUUUCCAACACUCUCCAUGUUGUAACUAAGGCUGAUGUGGUUGAGCCUUAAUCUCCAUAACCCCUUGUGUAGGUCAGAACCUUCCCCCUGUAGCUCCCCUUUUAGGACUCUAUAAACAUACUAGAUUGUAAAACUUGUAUCAUCACUUUCUUUCCAGACCCACUUAUCCUCCUUAUCUUUGGUAUGCACCAGGUCAAUAAAAAAUAAGAAAGGUUAGAGGGGAGAGGUCGGUUUGACUCAAGUUAGAAGUGUUAUUUUCAUAUUUGGGUAUGGAUAAACAACAAACUUUCCUCCGUAUUUUACGUUUUAAAGCUUUCAAUGUGAGUGGUAGACUGAAAAAUAUCGUUAUUUAUUCUAUUUUUUUAUCACUAAAAAAAUACAUAAUCACAUAUUAAUAUCAUCCAUCAAUCACCUAAAUUGAAUAAUUGGCUCGUGCAAUUCCGAAGUACAGAUCUAAAUAACAUUUUGAACAAUGUGUGAAUUGUUUUUGGAACUAGAUUUAUCUGCAACAUGUAACUUUUUGGAACACACAAAAAAACAAGAUAUACAAUACAAUAAUUGAAUAUGAUCAGAAACUCUUAUAUCACAUCCAUUACAUCAUCAAUCAUACACAUUUUUUUAACAAUGAUUACAAUAUUUCUCACUUCGCUAAAGACAUCACACAUAAAUGUAUACAAAAAUCAAGAUUUGUCGAUUUUUUAAGAUAUUUAUUGAGUUAGUCUGUUUGAGAUUAACACUUCAUGUAUGAUUAGAGUUUAUUGAACAUAAAUAAUUAUUUAUAUACAAUAACGAUAUCUUUUUUGCAUAGACUUUAAAAAAAAUGUUGUGUAAGAAUUUUUAUCAAUUUUCAACACCUAAAACAUUUAUUUACGUACAUGAUUUUUAGUUAUCAAUAAAACUUGAAUGUUUUAUUUUUAUACUAAUUUCUUAAUUUAAUACUCAUGUUAUAUUCAAACUAAUGACAAUAUUAUAUAAUAUUAUAUAUAAGGUUGAAAGUGUUGAUUAUUAAUUCAGAUUUUAUUAUUAUUAAUUUAAAUUUUAUUACUUUUAAACUAUUUUGACUCCUAUUAUUACAUUAAUGAUCAAUUUUCAUAGUAUUUCUAUUUUAUAGUUUUCAAGUAAUUAUAAUUUUAUAAUAUAUACUGUUGAAGUAAAUUAAAAUGAAUAAGAUCUAGUCGGCAGUUUUGCAAUGUGCAAUUACCUUCAAUUAGUUUAUACAACUUUUUUUUUUUCAAUUAGUUUCUACAGAAAUUGUCACGUUUAAUUAAUUAAUUUAUUUAUUGUUAGUAGGGAUCUCUGUUAUGCUGGAUUUUUGUUUUGAAGUGAUAUUUUCUGUAAUGAGCAAACAACAACGUGUAGGCGAAGCAGAAUGUGGAUAUAGUUUCAGUAUUUUAGGCAUAUGAUAAUUUGGGAUAUUUUAACCCUUUACAUACAUUAUCUUGUUCUUCUUAGAAAUCAAAAAGUCAAAUGAUAGUCUAAGAAUUUUUGUUUCAUAAAACUCUAAAAUCCUUCGUAAGUAUUUGAGACAAAAAUAGCAGUACUUAAAACAACUUAGUACUUUCCAAAUGAUUAUGGAUUAAUUUUUAAUUAUUUUUUUUUCAAAUUAAGAUAGAAACAUUUGAUACUUGUAUAAUCGAAUUAAGCAUAAUUGAUUAUAUUAAAAAAAAUAGCUUUUCAGAAUCGAUUAUUAUAUGAAAUAAUUAAUUAUGUGUUAAUAAAAUGAGAUCUAGUUUUAGUUCAGAAUUACGAGCUUAACAUAACUAACUAUAUGUUCAUAAAAAAUAACUUUUAAUGUAAAUUUGAUUAAAACUUUUUAAAGAUUGAUUUAAAUUUUAUAUUUAUUUAAAUUAAAAGAACACCAAAUAAUGAAUGUACGUCUAUUCAUUAACUAGGUGUACAUUUAUCAUCAAAUCAUCAACACCCUAUCAAUAAUAAAUAAUGUAUUACAUAAGUAAAGGGAUAACAAUUUCCAUCUACAAAUAAGAAAAAUAGUACUAGUCAUUCAUGUUACAACCAUGUGCUUAAUUGAUAGUAGAAUACAUUUCUACCAAAUAUUUCAUAAUUACUUACUAAACCCUUCCUACACAAAUCUUCUAUUUAUUUUUAUGUUUUAAAGCUUUGGUUCUUUUAGAUUUCUAAAAUGUAUUAUAGAAGAUAAAAAAAAUUCUAACAAGUAUUUGUGCAUUUUUUUUUUCAAUUACACAGUAGUAAAUAAAACUAUUUUUUACAGGAGUAUUACUAACUUUUAUAUUUACCAAUACUUAUAAUGAAGUAAUGCUAUCUCUUAUCUUUAGAAAUUUAUUUCUUAUAUAUGAGAUAAAGAUAACAUAUUUUUAUGAUGCUUUUUAUAAAUUAAUAUUUGUUUAGUGAUAAAAUAUUUUAUAAUAUUUAUGAUUAUAAUUUUUAAAUUUAUUUAUUUAUAGAUAAAUGAUUUUUAUUAUUAGAUUUUAUUCUCAUAUUAGAUAUUCUAUUAUUAUUCUUAUAUUAUAUGUAAAUAUUCUCAACUAAGUUUAAAGUAAAAUAAAUUAAAUGCAUUUACAUUCAUUAUGCUGAAUAAUGUAAUUUUCAAAAUAUUUUGAAAUGUAUGGUUAGAUUAAUAUAAUAAAUAAAUAGUAUAGUAAAAAGAGAGAAAAAACUGAUUUAACUUUACUUUAUGUAAAACGAGUAGUAAUGACAUUUAAUAAUGUUUUAAUAUUAAAAAUAAAAUAAAUAUAAAAAGUUAAAAAUUACCAUUUUAAAUAAUAUCACUUGAAAUAGUAUUUUUUUUAAAGAAAUUAUAAACUACUUAAAAAAUAUUUUUCAAACUUAUUAAAAAAGUCAAUGUAAGUUUUAUAAUUUAAAAACUAAAAUCUAGUUAGAAAUGUUUGGAAAACAUCCACUUAACAUGUAUGUAAUAUAAGUCAUUGUGUACAAUCUUCAUAAUUAGGAUGUUUUUGGGUUUUUACCAAUUUUUUUUUAUCAACAAAGAAUAAAUAAAAUAAAAAGAGAUAAGAGACUUUUUAGCAAUUUAAUCAAUAACUAAAUACAAGUGCAUUUAAUUUAGUGUUUACAAAACCUAAAAAGUUGACUAAACUGUUCAAACUUAAAAUGAAUUAUUCAACACGAAACUAAACAUAAGAAUAUAUAUUUAUCUAAAAUAUUUAACUGUAAUAUUUUUAGUAUCAAUGCAUACUACUCCAACUCCUCCACUACUAUCUGGUAUUUAUUUAACAGUAAAAAAAAACUUAAACUCUAAACUUAAAAAAGAAAAUACUUAAAGAGUGAUUUUGAAUAACCUAUCGUGAAACCAAACACCUACUGCAAAUAAAUAUUUUUUUUAACAUUGUAUUUUUUAUCAACAAUAAAAAAAAAUAAGAAUAAUUUUAGAAAUGAUCCAACUAUUAUAAAAAAAUCACAUAGAAACAAACACUUUUCUUCAAAAAUUUGUUACUAACUUUCUAUUAAAGAUGAAAACAAAUAAAUCAGAUUAAUACCUUAUUCCAAUGUUUUAAAAUAAAAGUCCUAGAAAUUCAAAAUCUCUUAAUAAAAAACACACAUUUCAAAGAAUAAGACAUUGAAUAACAUGUUUUUCUUAUUCAGAUUAAUGUUUAAAACCAAAACCAUUGGUUUGUAUUAGGUCAAUAAAAAAGGAAUAGUUUAAAGAGAGAGGUUGAGUUGAGCAAGAGUGUUCCAGAUUAGAGAUAAUGUUUUUUAGAUGUGGAGCUUGCAUCUCUCGUGUUGUCUACUUUAAAGUUCACUAUGCGAAUAAUAAACUAAAGGAUGUCGUUGUCUUUAUACAAGAGUGGAUGUGUCCCUAAACUAUCUUGAUUUUUAUUCAUUCUAUUUUUACCAAUAAAAAAUUGAACAAGAAAAACAAGUAAAUAUCCCACCAAAGGCAUAGCUUAAGUUGAGCAAAAGAGACUUUGUUCAAUAGACCGCUGUCUAAAAGUUUAAAACCUAUGUCAGAUUUAACUUUUUCUUUUAGAUACAAAGCAUUUUAACUUUCCUCUGAACAGUGCAUGUGGUUUAUUUUCUACAUCUUAUAUUAUCAUAUCUGUCAUUUUUUGUUUUUAUGUUAAAUCAUUGUCCUUUCUUGUCAUUUACCCUGAAUUUUUGUGAGUGUUUUGUCACCCUCCAUUCGUCUUUUUAUGCAUUUUCAGAAGUUGUCCUCAACAAAAAACUGAGCACAUUAUUACUCAUAGCAGAAAAUUAUGGUGGAACUUGCUACUUAUCUAUAAAUAGCCUCUUUGCAGGCACAAGGGUCUCCCACAGCAUCUGUAGAAAGAAGAGUGUGCUGUGUUGGAGCAGUCAUGUUUAAGGGCAAUACCUCAAAGGUUCACCAAGUGAAGGGGACAGUGGUUUUGAUGAGCAAGAAUGCAUUGGACUUCAACAAAGAUGGUGCCACUGCCAUCUUCAGCCCUGACUUUUCCAUAAAGCUUAUCAGUUCUAACAGGGUUGAUGGUUUGUUUCUUCCUUUUCUCAUAUAAACCAUGCAAAAUAUAACAUACACAUACAUAUAUCUUUAUUAAACAUUCCAUUAAUAUUUAUAGUUUUUCCUUUUAUCUGUCUUCAUUGGGGAGUGAAAAAACAAUUCAUUCAUCAUCCUCCUACAUCAUUAAAAAAAAAAACACAAAAACUAAUUUUAAAUACUAAAUUAGAAACCAUUUUAAUACUAAAACAAUUUUUAAUUUAUAAAUUAAUUUUUAUUAUUAUUAGAUAGUUUCUAAAUUGAUAUCUAAUUAGAUUUUUUUUACCAAAUAUGAUGUAAAUUUAAAAAUUAUUUAACAAUAAUAAAAAUUAAUUAGAAACCAAAAAUUAUUUUAAUAUUGAAAAUGAUCUCAAAUUUAGUUAUAGAAUAAUUAAUUAUUUUAAUUAUUUUUUAUGUAUAAAAUUGAUUUCUAUUUAAUCUUAUGAUUGACUAAUGAUCUCCAUCUAUCCUUUUUUUAAAUCUAAGUCAUGCUUCCAAUAAUCAGUACUAUUUCAUAUUUUAUGAGACUUUUUAUAUGUUUUCUUUAUAAAAUAUUGCAAGAAAUCAGUUUUCUUGUGAAUUUUUCUAUGGAUUUUGUACAGUCUGAAAAAAAUAUGUGCAUGAACUUUUUUAUGAAAUAUGAAAAAUUGUAGUUGUCAAUAUUUAAUUGAUAAAAAAUAAUCUAACAGUAUUUUGCAUAGUUAAAUCUUUCUUAAUUUUAAAAAAAUAUGGUAUUAAAAUUUCUUUUACAAGUUUUCUUUUUGAUUUUUAUGAAAAUGUAUUUUCUAUUUUGAAAAUAUAUUUUUUUAUAGAUUAUUUGAAUAUCCCAUAUUAGAAAUAAUUAAUGGAUGUAUUACAUUUGAAUUUUAACAAAUGGAGUAAGAUGAAUUGAAAAUUUUAAUUAAUAACAAAAUUAAUGAAUUUUUUUAUCCAAUACAUUAUGAUUUGAAAUAAAAUUUAUCUAACUCAUUAUGUUUGACCCCUUAAUUAAUCACAGUACAUGAGUUUCCACAUUUAUAGCUCUUUCACUUCUCUAGUUUUUUUUUUUCUUCUAAGAUUAUGUUGGAUUUGUUAAAAACAUAUGGGACUGUACAAAACAAAAUUUCUGAUGUUUGCUUUGAAAUAAAUUAAGUGAAGAACAUAAAAGUGUGAAGCUAAUUUCUAUUUGAGCAUUAUUCUUGCUAGGUAUUUUUAAUCGGUUUCCACUUAUGAUAAAAAAAUUCUAGUAUUAGUAUUCUGUCAUUUUAGUGGAUUUGGGGAGAAAAUAUCAAGAAAGAAAAGUAUUUAUGUGAUCGAGAGAAGGUCAGAGAUUUGUAAGUAUUGUGUGUAAAUAAUGAUUUUGCCUCAAUUAUUUAUUUGUUUUUCUUUAUUUUUUAAAUUAUCACUGUCCAUUAAUAAAUAAUUAUUUUUCAUUUUUUCAAUUAAAUUUUCUAAUAAAUAUACACCAAAGAAAAAAAUUACUUCAUAAAAAAUAUUUAACAGGUAGCAAAAUACUAAUAAUUUUGAUUUAAUAUAUUAUUUAUUUUUUAUUAUUUUGCUUUAAUGAAACUAAAUUUAUACAAAUGUGUAUAUGUAAGUAAUUGUUGUUGUUAAAGAGUUUGAUUAGAAAUAAUAAGUUCAAAAUUAUAGAAUAUAAGUAGAUGGAAAUUUCAUCUCACAAUUUGUUAGAUUAAAUUAAAUAAAAACUAAUUUUAUAGACAAAAAAUAAUUAAUUGCUAUCGACUAAAUUAGAAACCAUUUUAAAAACCUAAAAAAUUAUUAGUUUCUAAAUUAGUUUAUAUUAUUGAUAGUUUAUAAAUUGAUAUAUAAUUUAGUCAAUAUAACAACUAAUUAUUUUUAGUGGUUAAAAUUGGUUUUUAUUGAAUAAUUUUCUUAGUUUAGAUAAAUAAUAUGUUAUGGAGAUUAAAAAAAUGUCUUAUUUGAGUUUGAUAAUAUUCUUUAUUUAGGGCAUAAGAAUGGGAAGGUUGGAAAGGAAACCUCUCGGGACAAAAAUCAACCUGCUUCUUCGUUACCAACCUUGGGAGAGGGAAAAACUGCAUUCAAUAUUUCUUUUAAAUUGGAUGAAAGUUUUGGAAUUCCAGGAGCAUUCUACAUCAAAAAUUUAAAGCAACCUGAGUUUUUCCUUGUGACUCUCACUCUUGACAUUCCAGAUCAUGGAACCAUUCACUUUGUUUGCAACUCAUGGGUUUACAAAGCACAGAAGGAUCGUAUUUUCUUUGCAAACAAGGUAACUAAGUUGUGCACCUAUCAAGCAAUAUAUGAAUCUGGUUUUUGUACUCACUAGGAAAAUCUAUAAACUGCAUAAUCUUGUUUCUUUUAUGUAUACAUUGGUUUGGUAAGCUGCAGUUUGACCUAGCUAUAUGAAUUAAGGGGCUAAAAAAAAAAACAUUAGGUAUGGAGAGCUAUCUCAACUCAUACACAUCACCAUAAAUUAAUCCGAAUUUGUUUGUAUAAACUUGUAACACCUUUAAGGUACUUAAUGAUCUAAUAUAUGAAAUUUAAACCCUAUAGUUUAUAAACUUCACAAAAUUCAUCCCUAUUGUCUAAAUGAAGAAAUUCAUUGAACAUGUUUCAGACGUAUCUUCCAGAUACAACUCCAACUGCUUUUAAAAAGUACAGAGAAGAUGAAUUGAAAAGUCUGAGAGGAGAGGGAAAAGAAAAAGGAAAGCGCCAAGAACAUGAAAGGAUUUAUGAUUAUGAUGUGUAUAAUGAUUUGGGCAACCCAGACAAGAGUGAUGAUCUAGCUCGUCCUGUUCUUGGAGAUUCUAGUGCCUAUCCAUACCCUCGCAGGGGAAGAACUGGAAGAGACAAAACAAAAAAAGGUUAGGGAUUAUUUUUCACUUUAAAAAAAUUAUUUCCAAAUUAAUUUGUCGAGAAUCUAUGUAUUGUCUCUGAUAUUCUUAUUUAACUUGAAUAGAAUUGUUUGUAUGAAAGAUGCACCUAGCUUCACAAAAACAAUGUCAAUAUUCUGUCAUUAUGUGUGGUUAUGUUAUUACUAAUUUGAUCUCUUUUAGAUAUAAUGAGGAUGUUCAAUAUGUUUUUGGAAAUAUAGAGAUGCUAUUUUUGUUAUUAGUAAGAAAAAAAAUUACAAUGAUUAGAAUUAAAGAAAGUAUAUGUAGUAUAGCAAAAGGUUAUAAACACAAACCUGCUAGUAGGUAUGUUUUUUUUAUUAAACACAAUUGAUUUGUAUUAGGUUUACUAGGGGUUUAUUUUGUUAUUUGAAAGAUGAUGUCGUUUUUGUUUUAUUGAGCUAAUUGUUAGGUAUUAAGGAUGUAUAAGGAUUGAAUCAUCCUCUAUUCUAUAUUUUUUUUUUGUCGAUAAAAAAAAACUCUCUUAAUGUAACUCUUGUGACACUAAUGUCACUACAAGAAAAUCAUGAAAUAGAAACCAAUUUUUAGAGACCAAAAUAAUUAGUUGCAAUAGUAACUAAAUUAGAGACCAUUUUAGAAACUAAACAAAAUUUUGGUUUCUAAAUUAGUUUCUAUUAUUGUUAAAUAGUUUCUAAAUUGGUAUUUAAUUAGCAACCAAGGUUUUAGAAACUAAAUAAUUGGUAGUUAAAACCUUGGUUAUUGCUAAUUUGAUACCAAUUUAGAGAUUAUUUAACAAUAAUAUAAACUAAUUUAGAAACUAUUUUUUUUUAGUUUCUAAAAUGGUCUCUAAUUUAGUUACUGUUGCAAAAUUGGUUUCUAUUUCAUGAUUUUUUUAUUGUAGUGUGUAGAGUUAGCUCAAGAGGAUAAAGGAAGGAAUAAUAGAGUAAAAAAAAAAACUCUUAAAACACUUAAAGACAAAAUAUCAUUUAGUUACUAUAGUGACUACAUUGGAAACCAUUUUAGAAACUAAAAAAAAAUGGUUUCUAAAUUAAUUUAUAUUAUUGUUAAAUAGUUUCUAAAUUGAUAUUUAAUUAGUUAUCAAAGUUUUAACUACCAAUUAUUUAAAUUAUAAAUUUGGUAGUAAAAACCUUAGUUGCUAGUUAGAUACCAAUCUAUAAACAAAUUAACAAUAAUAUAAACUAAUUUAGAAACCAAAUUUUUUUUUAGUCUCUAAAAUGAUCUCUAAUCUAGUCACUAUACCAACUAAUUAUUUUUUGUCUUUAAAAUUGAUUUUUAUUUCAUGAUUUUCUUCCCAUAAUUUAAUAGAGUGUUUAAGAUAAGACAGUUUCAAGUAGAUGGUCUUCUGUAUUUUUCAAUAAACUAUCACAAUCUAGAGCCAAUACAUCACAACAUUGAAAUGUCGUUACUUCUAAUUGUUAUUGUUAAUGAUACAAUAUUAAUUUUUAUUUAUCUCCAUUUCUAACAGACCCUAAGAGUGAGACACCAGCCAGCGGCGACACUUACAUUCCAAGAGAUGAAAAAAUUGGUCACUUGAAGUCAUCAGACUUUCUUACAAAUGGAAUAAAGUCCUUGGCUCAAAAUGUCUUACCUCAAUUUCAAUCUGCAAUUGCUUUAGAUCCUGAGUUUGAUAACUUUAAUGACGUUCGUGGACUCUUCAAAGAUGGACUUCCUCUUCUUACAGACGCAAUCAGAACAAUUAGCCAAACACCAGUGAUAAAGGAAAUCUUCCAGAUUGAUGGUGAAAAAGUCAAGUUUCCACCACCUCAUGUCAUCCAAAGUAUUGUCUAUUUAUAUGUCACACCUAUAUAUAUAUAAAGUAAAAUAAGCUACUAGUGAUUGGCAUGGCAACAAGUAUUUUUUAUAUUUAACAUAUCUAGUUGUUUUCCAUAAAAUUUGGAGCAGAUGGUGAGUCAUGGAUGACUGAUGAAGAAUUUGGAAGAGAGAUGCUUGCUGGUGUUCAUCCUUGCCGAAUUCAGCGUCUUCAAGUAAAUAAUGCUUUGUUGUUUAUUAACUUGGAAUGAUUUGGUUUUCAUGUUGAAAUAUAUUCAUUGUUUAUCAUCUUAAUUUACUCACAAUGUUAUUUAAUGCAUCACAGGAGUUCCCUCCAACGAGCAAGCUAGAUGCUUCUGUGUAUGGUGAUCAAACUAGCAAAAUUACCAAAAAAAAUUUGCAGAUCAACCUUGGUAAACUCACCGUGGAAAAGGUGAAUGAUAUAUAUUAAUUCCAAAGCAAAAUAACACAUAAAUAUUCAUUUAACCAUGACGCUGAAUGAUUAUAAUGAUACUUGUUCAACAGGCAUUGAAAGAUAACCGAUUGUUCAUAUUAGAUUACCAUGAUGCAUUCUUACCAUUUCUGAGGAAGAUCAAUGGCCUACCCAACACAAAGUGUUAUGCCACAAGGACAAUCCUUUUCUUGAAAGAUGAUGGCACAUUGAAGCCAUUGGCUAUUGAAUUAAGUCUACCACAUGCUGAGGGAGAUAGGUGUGGUGCUAAUAGUAGAGUUAUCUUGCCUGCACACCAAGGCGCUGAAAGAACAAUUUGGCAAUUGUCCAAGGCUUAUGUUGUUGUAAAUGACUCAUGUUAUCAUCAACUUGUGAGCCACUGGUACAUAUAAAUUCUUCCAUCAUGAAUGAACUAUCAAUUUUUUGAAUUUACUAAGUGGUUCUUAAUUUAUUUGGUUUCUGUAUCAUUUGAUAACAGGUUAAACACUCAUGCCAUAAUGGAGCCAUUUGUCAUAGCAACAAAUAGGCAUCUCAGUGUGCUCCACCCUAUUCAUAAACUUCUAUCACCACACUAUCGUGACACCAUGAAUGUUAAUGGAGUUGCACGACAAUCACUUAUCAACGCAGGUGGCCUUAUUGAGCAAUCCUUUUUGCCUGGAAAAUACGCUUUGGAAAUGUCUUCAGCAGCUUACAAGAAUUGGGUUUUCACUGAUCAAGCCCUUCCUGAAGAUCUCGUCAAGAGGUAAUGUUUAUACACAACUAGCUUUUAAUUAAUACUCUGUACUUUAGUCAACAACUCUCACUUGGAAUUUAUUUACAUAUAUACUAAUACAAUAUUUUAAUUUACAAUUUUUCUCCUGUUUGAGAUGUAAAUAAUAAAUGCUUUGUUUUCCUCCGUGAUUCAGAGGAAUGGCAGUUAAGGAUUCAUCAAAUCUCCUUCAACUUGUGAUAAAGGACUACCCUUAUGCUGUUGAUGGACUAAAGAUAUGGAGUGCUAUUCUGAAUUGGGUUACAAAGUAUGUCUCCUUCUACUAUUCAGAUAGAGUUGGGGAAGACAGAGAACUCGAGUCUUGGUGGAAGGAGGUAGUUAAGGAGGGUCACGGUGACUUGAAAGACAAGCCAUGGUGGCCAACAAAGUUGAACACUCGUCAAAAUCUGAUUCACAUUUGCAGCACUAUCAUAUGGAUUGCUUCAGCUCAACAUGCAGCUGUUAAUUUUGGACAAUACCCUUAUGGAGAUCACAUCCUAAACCGUCCAACUCUAACCAGAAGAUUGAUCCCAGACCCAGGAACCAAAGAAUAUAAUGAGCUGAGCACCAAUCAUGAAAAGGCUUAUCUGAAAACAAUUACAAAAAAACAUGAGGCCCUUGUGAACCUUUCAGUGAUAGCGAUAUUGUCAAGACAUGCUUCUGAUGAGGUCUAUCUUGGACAGAGGGACAAUCCAAAUUGGACUGAUGAUGAAAAGGUUCUUAAAGCCUUUAAACAUUUUGGAGGAGAACUGAAAAAAAUUGAGAAUGAGAUCUUAGAAAGGAACAACAAUUCAAGUCUCAGAAACCGUGUUAAGAUGCCCUACACUGUGCUUCUUCCUACCAGUGAGGAAGGUCUCACUUUCAGAGGAAUCCCCAACAGCAUCUCUAUUUAAGGAGUGUACGUGUGUGGUUUAAUGUUUGUCCAACUUUAUUGCUCAAUAUCAAAUAAUGAUGUUUGUUUGUAUCUGCAUAAUUGUCGGGUGUAUGCUUAAGUAAUGCAUGGGGAUGUUACGUGGUUCUCCAUUUAAUAAGAGUGGUAUCAUUUUCUGUU